CUCAGUCUCCCUAUAUGAACACACAUAGAAGAAGAAAGAAGGGAGACUCUAGGAACAAAAAGGGGGCUGAAACAAACCGAAAAGCGCACAGCGAUGGCAACAAAAACAAGUGAAAAAACGCUAAGGAGAAGACAUUUUCUUCUUCCCCAAAAUGCAGCUUCCUUUUGUAUAGCUAAUCCCCCAUUGUUCACCACUGUUUUCCUCAAUUAAUACCACCACGUGAAGCCCCCAAAAAGCCAUGAAAGAGCCUAGAAACCUCCAUUAAAAACCCUUUAAACUCUAUUUAAAACCAUCAUCUCCAGCCUGAUACCUCACUGUCCAAACCUUCCGUGAAUCGCAAAUCCCGCCCAAACACAAUCCAUAAAAUAACCCUUUUAACCAUUUGCUAACUCCAUUAAACCAUCCCAUAACAGUAGCCACUAAUCACCAAAAAACAGUCCCAUUUCUGCCAUUAAAAUCGAUCCAAAAACUAGCUGAAACCAACCCAAAACAGCAAAAAAACACAGAAGCUUCAGUCGAGGUCGAGGUUCGAAGUUCUCGAUGCUGUUUUUGUUUGGGGUUUGUUUGUAUGAAAGUCCAGCUGACCUUUGUUCCUGUUGUAUCGAAGAAUAUUUGGCUAUUGAAAGGUCAAUUUCUUGUUCUCCACUUUUUGGAUUCCAGGUCAUAUUAUACUUUCUAUAAGUUUGAGUGUUUUUCUUUUUAUCUUAUCUUCUUUGCUUAAUAUUGAUUUAUGAUUGGUCUUGUUAAAAUAUAUGGAAUACAAUUUGUUUUGGUUGAUCAUCUUGAUAUGAAUAUUGAGUUUUUAAAGUUAAUUACUGAAUCUUAGAAAGGAAAGAAUCAGGGAAAUGUUGUUGCAUGAUCGAUCGAUACUCUCAUUAGUGUUAGUGGGCCAUUCAUUAUUUGUUUACUUUGUUUGGGCUCGAAAUAAAAGAAAGUGACAUGAACUUAAAAGUUUUUUUAUUGUCUUUCUUUUUAAAAGCAUGCUGGCCCAAUAUCUUUAGUAUUUUCUUUAAAUUAGCUAGCCUAUCUUUUUUAAUUAAUAAAUAUUGAAAUAGCUCCAAAUAAUCCCAAAUUCUUCUUGAACAAUUCUUUAUCAAUACAUUAGUAAACAAAUCAGUCUAUGACCUCCGACAAUUCCAACAUAACUUUUGGGCUUCACAAUAAUCUCAAACUUAGAAAGAACAAUCAUAAACAUUGCUAGUAUACUUUUAGGUACGAUUAAAUAAUUUUAUUAUCAUGGUUAUGCGUACGAUUCUCGUGGCAUAACUAUAAUACAUAAAUCUAAAAUCAAGUGUGUUCAUGGGAUUUGAUCCAUUAACUUUAAAUAAUAAUAAAAAUAUUUACAUAUACUCUACCCUUACAAGACCAAGCUUGUGGGAGUACAUUGGGUAUGUUGUUGUUAUAGCAGUAAUAAAAAUAUCAUUAAUCAUGGGUACGUGUGCAUAGUGACCCGACCAGUCGUUAUAUAUAUUUGAGUCAUGUUCCCUCUUAUGAAGCUUUCCAUAUACGUAUUUGUGGUUAUGUAACUUGCGGGGAUGGUUGGUUGGAUUUUGCGGAGGUUUUGGAUUGAUUUGGAACACUUGGUUCUUGGUGUGGAAGCUUAGGUUGGAAGUACUAAUCGAGGUUUGACUUUUAUGAAAACGCUCCUAGAACGGUGUGUGGAUGGUUCCAAUAGGUUCGUAUGAUGGGUUUGGACUUAGGCGUAUACUCGGAAUUGAAUUCGUAGGUUGAAUUGGUUCUUUUUGCCGAAAGUUGACAAUUUAAAGGUUUAGAAUUUUUCAAAAUUUCACCAUGGGUUAACUUUGUGGAUAUCGGAUUCAGAUUUUUGUUAUGGAAAUUGGAAUAGGUCUGUUUUGUCAUUUGGAACUUGUAUGCAAAGUUUGGUGUCAUUUCAAGUUUGUUUGAUAGGAAUCAAACACUUGUUUUUUAUUUUAGAUGUUCUUGAGUUUCAUUGUGAAUUCUAUGUUUUUUCGUAUUCGAUUCAUGGUUCUGGAGGUUAUUUUGAUGUUUUAAGCUCACGAUCAAAUUUGUAUGAUAUUUCUAGACUUGUGUGAAUGUUCGGCGUGGAGCCCCAGGGGCUCAAGUAAGUUUCGGAUGCAUUUUGGAGUGUUUUGAUUAUUUUAGUAAUUGCUGGUUCUUGGCUUGUGCUACAAGUUAUGUAAAUUCGAGUACCAGUAUGCAUUAGCAGUGACCGCAUUUGCGAUGUAUUUAGUCGCAAUUGCGAAGGAGGCUGGGGUGGUGGGAUUUGCAUUUGUGAAGCCAGCCUCACACUUGCGUUGGGGAGCAGCGGCUGAAGUAGACCACAUUUGUGAUUUCCCUCUCGCAUCUAUAAUGCCUACUGGGUUCGCAUUUGCGGACAAUGAGUAGCGUUUGUGACUUCUGUGGGACUUGGCGUACUUCACUUGUGCAAGCCAAUAGUCUCAUUUGUGAUAGUUGCAUUUGUGAACCCAAGGUCACAAAUGCGACUUCGGUAGCUGGGCAUGUAUUUGAGAUUUUGGGACUUAGUCUCAUUUUAUCAUAUUUUGAGCCCUAGACUCGGUGUGAGACAAUUUUAGGAGGGGAUUUUCUCACAUAGCUAUUGGUUUUGACUCAAUUUUUAUAUUUUAACAUGAUUACUUAUGGAUUUUAACAUAAAUAUCAUGGGAUUUAAAGGGAAAUUUUGGAAAUUUUAGACUAUGUUUUGAAAAAUAAAAAUUUGAGAUUUGAGAGUCGAUUUGGACUCUGAUUUUAAAACCAAUUACAAAUAUUUGGACUCGUGGCUUUAUUAUUAGUUGAGAUCUACCCCUCGACUUGGAUUUUGACCGGGCAAGUACGGAGUUGACUUUUGUUGACCUUUUGGGAAUUUUGUAAAGAUCUUAACUUUAUUAAUUGAAACUGAUUUCUCUUGCAUUGUUUGAUAUUAUUAAGUUAUUUUUUGUUAGAUUUGAGCCGUGCGGAGGUAAAAUUUAAAGGAAAAACCUUUUAGAGUAUUGAUUGGGGUUAUUUGAGGUAAGUAUCUUACCUAACUCUUUGUGGGAGAAUUACCCCUUAGGAUUUGGUCUAAAAUGCCACAUUUGUGCUAUGUGAAACAAUAUGUACAUGAGGUGACAAGUGUGUACAUGGGCGUAUGUGUGAUUUUUGAUUGAAUUAGACCUUUGACUAUUAAUAUGCCUUGAAUUAGGGUUGUUUGCUAUAUGAACAUACUUUAUUAUUGAGUAUUUCCUGCACUAUUAUGCUAUUUUCAUGUUAUUUUAUCAUGUUGUGAGACGUGGGCUAUAUUGUCACAACCCAAACCGAUGGGCCGUGACGAGGACCCGAUGCCUUAAUCAACCGAGUACCAAUGUAACGUAUCUUUCUUACCAUAAUAUCAUGGGUAAAUGAGACGAAAAUGCCGUCAUGAGAUAAACACAAUAAAACUUAAGGGAAUACCCGAUAUAAGAUGACCCAACAUGAUAUAGAAACUUAUAAAUGUGACAUACGAGCCUAUAAGGCUGACAUGAUUCAAAACAUACCGACAAGACCAUACAACUAUCCAUAUACAUGACAUAUUUCUACAAGCCACAAAGAGUACAUAAACUUCAUAAAGGCCAGGACAGGGCCCCACCAAACCAAUAAAUACAUGUCCAAAGCAUACUGACCAAAUAGGCAACUCCGGAGUAAGUGGAGUGCACCAACACCUUUCGCUCAGCUGAUAGCCCACUAGGAGGACCGUUUAACCUAUCUAUCGGGACCUACGGGCAUGAAACACAGCGUCCCCAUGCAAAAGGGACGUCAAUAUGAAUAAAGUACCGAGUAUGUAAGGCAUGAAAUGCAGUAUAUAAAAGACAUGAAGGAAUCAUGGAGUAAAGGACUCAACCUAUAAGUCUGGAUGUGUUAUCCUAUUUUGCUCCUUGUCUACUUUUAUUCGUAUGUGUCAUCCUAUUUUGCUUCAUAUUUUGAUAUGUCUCGUGAUUCUUUGGAUACCCCUACUUAUGUUCCUAUACCCAUUGGGAUUUUAUUAUUGUGGACUGUGUCUACCGUUCCUGUUUGGACACUUGGGUGCUAUGAUACUAGAGUUCACCUUAUGUUACUAAAUAUGGUGGAUUUUGAUAUGAUUUUGGGUAUGGACUGAUUUUCACCAUAUCACGCUAUUCUUGAUUAUCACGCUAAGACGUUGGCUAUGCCGGGGUUGCCGAGGUUGGAUAGGAGAGGUUCAUUGGGUCAUGUUCUUAGUCGAGUGGUGUCUUUUAUGAAGUCUCAUCGGAUGGUUGAGAAGGGGUGUUUUGCAUAUUUAGCCUUUAAGAGGGAUGUUAGUGCUGAUACUCCUAAAUUUGAGUGUCAUUGCCGAUAGUGAGGGAAUUUCCAUAUGUGUUUCCAGCAAACUUGUCGGGCAUGCCACCCGACAUGGAUAUUGAUUUAAAUAUUGAUCUGGUAUCGGGCAAUCAACCCAUCUCUAUUCCACCAUAUCACAUGGCAGUAGUGGAGAAAAAUGAAUUGAAGGAACUACUUCAGGAGUUGCUUGAUAAGGGUUUCAUCAGACUGAGUGUCUCACCUUGGGGUGCUCCGGUUAUAUUUGUGAAGAAGAAAGACGGCUCUGUGAGGAUGUGUAUUGACUACAGGCAGUUGAACGAGCUUACUAUCAAAAACAAGUACCCACUAGAGCAUAUUGAUGAUGUAUUUGAUCAAAUUCAGGGUGCUAGAGUAUUCUCAAAGAUUGAUUUGAGAUCCGGGCAUCAUCAAUUGAAGAUCUGGGCUUCAGAUAUUCCGAAGACGGCUUUCAGGACCCGUUAUGGCCACUAUGAGUUUUUAAUGAUGUCAUUUGGGCUGACCAAUGCCCCAACAACUUUCAUGUAUUUGAUGAGCAACGUAUUUCACUUUUAUCUGGAUUCUUUCCUCAUUGUGCUUAUUGAUGAUAUAUUGGUGUAUUCUUGCAUCCAUUAGGAGCAUGGACAACACUUGAGGAGCUUGCUCUAGAUUUUUAGGGAGAAGAAUCUAUAUACUUAAUUAUCCAAGUGCGAGUUUGGGCUAGACACGGUUGCAUUCUUUGGCCACUUGGUUUUUAACGAGGGGAUUAAGGUGGAUCCGAAGAAGAUUGAGGUAGUUCAGAGCUGGACUAGACCUUCUACCGCCAUUGAGAUCCGGAGUUUUCUAAAUUUGGCUUGGUACUAUUACCGUUUCGUAGAGGGUUUCUUUUCCAUUGCAGUUCCUCUAACUAGAUUGUCUCAGAAGGGUGCCCGACUCAGGUAGUCUGACGAGUGUGAGGAGAGCAUUCAGAAGCUCAAGACUAGCUUGACUACAACUUCAGUUCUGGUUUUGCCUUCAGCAUCGGGUUCACAUACAUUCUAUUGUGAUGCUUUACGAGUUGGUAUUAGGUGUGUGUUGAUACAAGAGGGUUGAGUUAUUCCUUACACUUCACAUCUAUUGAAGCCCCAUGAGAAGAACUAACUGGUGCACGAUUUUGAGUUAGCAGCCAUUGUUCACGCGCUUAAGAUUUUGAGGCACUAUCUUUACGGCGUGUCUAGUGAGGUGUUCACGGAUCACAGGAGUCUUCAGGACUUAUUAAAACAAAAGGAUCUAAACUUGAGGCAACAGAGAUGGUUAGAGCUUCUAAAAGACUAUGAUAUCACCAUUCGUUAUCAUCCCGGGAAGGCCAAUGUGGUGUCCGAUGCUUUAAGUAAGAAGGCUGAGAACAUGGGGAGUCUUCUUUUUAUCCCAGUCGGGGAGAGACCAUUAGCUUUGGAUGUUCAAGCUUCGGUAACAAGUUUAUGAGGUUGGAUAUUUUGAAGCCUAGCAGGGUUCUUGCUUGCGUGGUUUCACUGUCGUCUUUGUUUGAGUACAUCAAGGCGUGUUUGUAUGAUGAUCCCCACUUGUUUGUCCUUAAAGACACGGUGUCACACGGUGAUGCCAAGGAGGUGGCUAUUUGUGAUGAUGGGGUAUUGAGGCUUCAGGGUCGGAUUUGUGUGCCCAAUGUAGAUUGGUUGCAUGAGCUGAUUCUUGAGGAGACCCAUAGUUCAUGGUAUUCCAUUCAUACGGACACCACGAAGAUGUACCAUGAUUUGAAUAAGCACUAUUGGUGGAGAAGAAUGAAGAAAUAUAUUGUGCAGUGGGUUGGUGUUUGAACUGUCAACAUGUUAAGCAUAAGCAUCAGAGACCCGAUGGUUUGCUUCAGAGGCUAGAUAUUCUGGAGUUCAAGUAGGAGCAUAUCACGAUGGAUUUUGUGGUUGGGCAACAACUGGACUUGAGGAGAUUUGACGUUGUGUGUGUCAUUGUGGAUAGACUGACCAAGUUUGCAUACUUUAUUCCAGUUAUGACUACCUACUCUUAUGAGCAGUUGGCUCAGAUUUAUCUUUGUGUGAUUGUUCGCCUUUAUGGCGUGCUAGUUUCUAUCAUCUUGGAUUGAGGCACGUAGUUCACAUUGCAUUUAUAGAGAGUCGUGUAGCGUGAGUUGGGCACACAUGUCAAAAUAAGUACAACAUUUCAUCCACAGACAGACGAAAAUCCUGAGCGUACUAUUCAAAUUUUGGAGGACAUGUUACGAGCCUGUGUCAUUGAUUUCGGGGGUCAGUGGAACCAAUUUCUACAGAUAGUAGAGUUCGCCUAAAACAAUAGCUAUCAACCGAGAAUUUAGAUGGCUCCAUAUGAGGCCUUAUAUGGAAGGCGAUGUAGUUCUCUGGUUUGUUGGUUUGAGCCUGUAGAGGCUAGGUUGUUGGGCACUAAUUUGGUUCGUGAUGCUUUGGAGAAGGUGAAAUAGAUUCAAGUGUAGCUUUGUAUAACGCAGUCCAGGAAGAAUUAUGCAGAUACGAGGGCUUGUGAUGUGGCAUUCAUGGCGUGUGAGAGGGUUCUACUCAAAAUUUCGCCCAUGAAUGUGUGAUGAGGUUCGGGAAGAAGGGCAAGUUGAGCCCUCAGUAUAUUUGUCCUUUUGAGAUUCUUGAGAGAGUGGGUGAGGUGGCCUACAGACUUGCUUUGCCACCCAGCUUAUCGAGAGUUCACCUAGUGUUCUAUUUUUUCAUGCUUCGAAAGUACUAUGAUGAUUUAUCACAUGUGUUAGAUUUCAUCUCAGUGCAAUUGGACAAGGAUUUGACCUAUGUUGAGGAGCCGGUGGUUAUCUUGGAUAGGCAGGUCCGGAAGUUAAGGUGGAAGAACAUUGCAUCGUUGAAGGUCCAUUAGAGAGGUCAACCGGUCGAGGAGGUGACUUGAGAGACCAAGCAUGAUAUGCAGAGCCGAUGUGCUCACUCUUUUGGCACUUUAGGUAUGUCUCUAUACUCGUUCGAGAACUAACCUAUGUUUAAGAGAGGAGAAUAUAACGACCCCGCCGGUCGUUUUAUUUUUUUGAGCCUUGUUUCCACUUUUGAAGCUUCACAUCUGUAUAUUUGUGCUUGUGUGACUUGGGGGGAUGGUUGGUUGGGUUUCGAGAAGGUUUUGGGUUGAUUUGGAACACUUGAUUCCUAGCUUGGAGGCUUAGGUUGGAAGUGUUGACCGAGGUUCGAAGUUUGUGAAAACGACCUCACAACGGUGUUUUUAUGGUUUUAAUAGGUACGUAUAGUGAUUUUGGACUUAGGCGUAUGCUCGGAAAUGAAUUCAGAGGUUCCUAGGUUGAAUUGGCUCUCUUUGCCGAAAGUUGGCAAUUUGAAGGUUUAGAAAUUUCCUUAGUUUUACCAUGGGUUGACUUUGUGGUUAUGGGUUCAAAUUUUUAUUUCGGGACUUGGACUAGGUCUGUUUUGUCAUUUGGAACUUAUGUGCAAUGUUUGGUGUCAUUUCGAGUUUGUUUGAUAGGAUGGACACUUGGUUGUGGUUUUAGAAGUUCUUGAGUUUCAUUGUGAAUUCUACGCGUUUUGGUGUUUGAUUCAUGGUUCCGGAGGUUAUAUUGAUAUUUUGAGCUCGCAAUCAAGUUCGUAUGAUGUUUCUAAGAGUCUAUGGAUGUUUUGUAUGGAUCCCAGGAGGUUCGGGUGAGUUUCAGAUGUGUUUCGGACUGUUUUAGUGAUUGCUGGUUCUUGGCUUGUACUGCAUGUCUCUCAAAUGCGAGCACCCGUUCACAUUUUCGGUGACCGCAUUUAUGAUGGAUUUAGUCGCUAUUGCUAAGCCAUUCUCGCAAUUGCUAUGAGGAGCUGGGGCUGAAGGAGGCAACUUUUGCGAUCAUCUUCACGCAUUUGCGACGCAUACUGGCUUUGCAUUUGCGGACAAUGAGUUGCAAAUGCAACUUCUGCUGUUCAGCAUAUAUUUGAGAUUUCGGGACUUAGUCUCAUUGUAUCAUAUUUUGAGCCCUAAAUUCUGUGGGAGAAUUUAGGAGGGGAUUUUCAUACAUAGUUAUUAGGUAAGUGAUUUUGACUCAAUUUUCAUAUUUUAAAAUGAUUACAUAUGAAUUUUAACAUCAAUAUCAUGGGAUUUGACGAGAAAUUUUGGGGAUUUUUUACUAUAUUUUGAAAAAUAAAAAUUUGACAUUUGUGAGUCGAUCUGGACUUGGAUUUGGAAACCAAUCAUAUAUUUGGACUCGCAGGAUUAUGGAUAGCCUAGAUCUUCCCCUCAACUCGGGUAUUGACCAGGCGAGCCCAGGGUUGACUUUUGUUGACUUUUUGAGAAUUUUGUAAAGAUCUUAACUUUAUUAAUCGAAUUUGAUUUUUCUUGUAUUGUUUGAUAUUAUUAAGUCAUUUUUGGCUAGAUUUGAGCCAUGCAGAGGUGAGUUUUAGAGGAAAUGCCUUUUAGAGUAUUUAUUGGGGCUAUUUGAGGUAAGUGUCUUGCCUAACUUUGUGUGGAAAAAUUACCCCUUAGGACAUGGUCUAAAAUGCAAUAUUGUUUCUAUAUGAAAGGACAUGUACAUGAGGUGAUGAGUGUGUACACGGGUGUAUGUGUUGUUUUUGAUCGGAUUAGACCUUAGGCUAUUAAUAUGCCUUGAAUUGGGAUUGUUUUAUAUAUGAGCAUGCUUUAUUGUUGAAUAUUCCCUGCACUCUUAUGCUAUUGUCAUGUUAUUGUAUCUUGUUUUGAACCAUGGCCUAUAUCUUGAUGUGACUUUGAGAUAUUGUUGCUUUUGUGAUAUUGUGGCACGUGUGUUGUGCGGGUUAAUUGUUGUUGUCUGGAGUAUAAGGGUGGCGAGAUGCGCAUGUUGCAAUAUAAGGGUGGUGUUUAUUGAUGCACAUGCAGCGAGAUAAGGGUGGUUUAUACGCGUGUAGCAAUAUAAGGGGAAAUAUAUCAUUGUGAUGCACACGCGGAGACGUAAGGAUGGCUUGUUGAUGAUGUUAUGUGAUAUUUCAGGGUGCUCCAUUGUGAUUGUUCGUGUGUUGGAAUGUGGAUUUAUGUUUUGGUCCCAUGCUAAUUCUCUUAAAAGUUUCUACUGUGUACUUUCGUGAGGUAUUGGUUGACUUGAUUUACUAUCACAUUUCCCACUCAUGUUUGAUAAUUUGUUGGUACAGAGGGGUUAUUCUGCUUGAAAGUGAUGUCACUUGAUCUUUGAGGUUGUUGAUAUCAAUUUCGUUAUGCUUUUUGUUGUCAAUUUUCUUUAAUGUCUUGCACAGGUUAAUUAACUAGUGAGUGUCUUGACUUGAACCUCGUCACUACUCUAGCAAGUUUAGUCUUGAUACUUACUGGGUACCGACUGUGGUGUACUCAAACUACGCUUCUACACAUUCUUCGUACUGAUCCUGGUACCUCGGAUCGUGGUGGUUAUUAGGGAGUUGAGCCCGAGCUGUUGGAGACUUAAGGGUAUACUUGGUACUCCGCCCGCAAGCCUUGGAGUCACCCUCUUUUAUUUAUUUUCUAAUGUUUAUGUCUUCCAAAUAGUGAUGUACAUUUAUUUCCUCCACGGUGCGGUCAAUGCGGUAGAGCCCAUUCCGAACGAUGUCGUCAGGGAUUUAAUACAUGCUAUACCUGUGGAAACCGCAGUCAUUAUAUGAGAGAUUGUCCGGUAAAGGACAAAGGUUGGAUGGCUCAGCCCACCGGGUCUGUAGCAGCCUCCUCCUUUUCAGCACGUCCCCUAGAGUGAGGCCCUCAAACAUCAACUGAAAGAGGUAGAGGCAGAGGUGGAGCAUCUAGCUCCGGUGAUAGUAAUAACUGCAUAUACGCUUUGAUUAGGCAUCAAGAUCAGGAGCAGCCAAGCAAUGUUGAUACAGGUAUAUUUACUAGUUGUGUGUGACCAAGAGUUUAUAUUGCUUGUUAAGGCUCAUUUUUAGGCAUCUGUAUUGCAUUUUCUGGCUACGUACAAGUUGGGUUUUAGUUGAGUUUAUAGAGGAGACUCUGGUAAACAUUUUGUAAGUCUCUAAAAGUUAACAUUCGAGGACGGAUGUUUCUAAAGAGGGGAAAGAUGUUACAUCCCAUACUUUUGUAUGUUGGAUUUGUCAUAAGUUAAUUGACAUAAGUUCAAGGAUAAGAUUAUUUUUGAGAUUUUAAGUGGUUAUCCUAAAUUUAGAAAAUGUUGAGGAAGUGUCGUUACUAUUAUCAAUGCUACUUUCAUCUUUUCUUUAGAUGAGGGUCUAUCGGAAGCAACCUCUCUGCCCGUCCAGGGUAGGCGUAAGGCUGCGUAUAUCUCACCCUCCUCAGACCCCACUUAUGGGAAUAUACUAGCUCGUUAUUAUUGUUGCUGUUGAAAAAGUGUCGUAACGAUUAGAGGUCAACAAAUUGAAGAGAAUAAGUUUCGUCAAUGUAAUACCCCGUGCUAUUAGACUAUGGCUUGAGCCGCUUGACAUAUGCAAGUAGACCUGAGCCACGAAGAAUUUUGUUUAUAUACAAGUAUGAAAAUAAAGAGAAUAGUGUAGAAUAAGAUGAAGUCCCAAAAUGAUGUAGGACGUUAGAAUGAGACGAUGGGGGUUGGGAAUAAUAUUUGGUAUGUAUAAGGAGGCUAUGGAUUAGAAUUAUACCACAUGAUAAUGAUAAUGAGUUUAUGAAAAGUGUAUAAAAUAAUUAUUAUUUAAGUGAAUAAAGAUCAAGAAAUUAAUUAUGCAGUUAAUUAGUUAAAUACAAGGAUUUAAUUAGGGAUUAGUUGAAGACAAAUGUCCAAUAUAGGGGACAAUUAUGGAGUCCAUAUGGGACAACUCAAAUCUCCACCUUAUGACUCAUGUUUCAUUGGAUAGGUAUGUCUUGGUGGCUACUCCAUGGCCAAGCUUCUUUUUCUUAUUAAACGAAUAUUACAUGGUCCCCACAACCCACAAAGUAUUAGAAAAUUUCGAAGUUACAUUUCAGAAUAUGUAUAUAUUAUUAACAAUCAUAACCACCUAGCCUAGAAGCACAAGAAACGUGAGAGAUUGAGAGGCAACUUUGGGAUUUUAUUUUUAAAAUUUUUUUAACUUUUGAUGGGGCAAAACGUGGGCAGCAAAAUCAUGAUAGAGAAUCUAUCCCUCCAUCUCUCAUAGAUUAGGUUGUCGUAGUUGCUUGUGGCAUGAGUGUUUGGAGCAUAAUUGGCAGGUCCUAGUUAAGUAAGGUAAGAUUUCAUCUCUCCUACAUAUUUUUGAGGUUGUUUGGUCUUUAUAAAACUUGUUAUUAUUGUUAUAUGGAGGUAGUUUUAUUGUAUAUGGAUAGUAGAUGAUGUUGUUGUUGUGUUAUUGUUGAUAUGCUUAUUGAAGUUGGAAUACGGAAGUGUAUAAGGUAUCGUAUACGAAGCAUAUAUUGGGUUGUCUUGGUGUAUAUUCUUAGGUGUUAAUGAUUUGAACCCAAAGGGAUUAAAAGAGGCUGUAGUUAUGGUUGUUAAAGAAUAAGGGAAAUGUUGUCAGUUCCAUAUUCGAACCAAAUUAUCGUUUGAUAUAAGUGAUAUACGAGUGUCAUCUAAGUUCGCAUAUGCAUCCAUUUGUUAUAGGAUUGGCGAACUAGUUACGACGCGUUUGUUGUUGGAUUGUGUUGACGACCUGAGGUAUGCUAAGGCUAAUCCUUCCUUCUUUUUGUAUGAUCCAAGUAACGAAACGUAAAUAUAAUAUUACUCAAUAAAUAGUUCUACUCUUAGUAGUUAAGGAUUCCUACAUUUUUCAUUCCUAUAAAAUGUAAUUCAAACUAUGUCUAAGUAUGUUCUAAGUUCCUAUUGAGGCAUACAAUAAAGAUGUUAAUGUUCAUAAUGUAAUGUUACAUGCAUCUUCAUUUACCACCGAGAUACGGUUGGUCGGGUAGUCAUACAUUUACCAUCGAGCUAUGGCUGGUUGGGUAGUUACGCAUUUACCACUGAGUUAUGGCCAGUCGGGCAGUCAUGCAUUUAGCGCCGGGCUACGGCCGGCCGAGCUGUACUACUAAUCAGUUGGGCAGUUAACAUCACGAUAAUUAUGUAGUCAUGACUAUGGUUUUAUAUAUAUAUAUAUAUAUAUAUAUAUAUAUAUAUAUAUAUAUAUAUAUAUAUANNNNNNNNNNNNNNNNNNNNNNNNNGUCAGAGGUUACAGGUUGACUCUUAUCGAGUCAGUGAUAGUAUCUUAUCGUUAUGAUUCAUUUCUUCCUUACAUACUUGGUACAUUCUUCUUACUAACGUCCCUUCACGGGGGGACAUUGUGUUUCAUGCCUCACAAGUGUAGAUAGACGAGGCGAAGAUCCUCCAAGAUAGGUUGCCUCUACUUUCUGGAGUAUUGCCGAGUAAGGGCUCUGUAUAUGUUAUUUUGGUUUAUGGGAAUGUCGGGGGCUUUGUCCCGACUUAUAUACUAUGUUCAUAUUACCAUAGAGGCUUUGCAGACAAUAUCUUGUCUAUAGUUUUUGUUAUGAUAUGUUAGUCUAUCAUGACGGCCUUGCCGGUCCCCAUGUAUCUAUGUAAAUUCUUUAUGAGUUGGUUAUGCGAGUUAAUCGUAGAUAGUGCAGUAGAUCAUAGUCGUAGGGAAUGAACUAAUUGACCUUUGACAUAUUUUAUAUACAACGAUGCAUGUGACCAGGUCAGAAGGGUAAAGCAGUGGCUGAUGAGGGCAUGAGUAGAGCACCAGUGGCUAGUGAGGGCCAGAGUGAGGCUCCGAGGGGAAGUGUGACACCCUUGCAUAAUUCUCCGACUCCUCCAGCACCCGAGAAGCCGAGGAGUAACCUAGUACCUCCAGUUCCUCGACCUGUAACUCAUGAUUUGGAUAUGGAUAUGCGGAAUGCAAUAUAGUUGUUGACAUUGGUAGCCGCUCAGGCUCAGUGUCAGGCAGGUAUAAGUGUUGAUUAUGUUGACAGGGCUAUUAGCACAAGAGUUCGAGACUUCAUCAACCUGAACCCUCCAGUGUUUACCAGAUCCGACAAGGAUGAGAACCCACAGAACUUUAUAGAUAGGAUGUAUAGGACUUUGAGGGUGAUGCAUGUUUCAGACACUGAGUUAGUAGAGUUGAGCCUUUAUCGAUUGCACGAUGUUGCAGUUCUGUGGUAUGAGACUUAGUAAUUGUCCAGAGGGACAAAUUCACCUCCAACAGUAUGGGAAGAGUUCUCAGGGGCUUUCUUGCGUCAUUACUUGCCAACAGAGAUCCGUCAGGCGAGGGUAGAUCGGUUCAUGGCUCUUAGACAGGGGAAUAUGAUUGUGCAUUAGUAUAGUCUCCAGUUUGAUUCCUUGUCUAGGUAUGCUUCCUCGAUUGUGGCUGAGAUGAGUGACCGAGUACAUCAUUUAGUGGUAGGGCUUAUGCCGCACCUGAUUAAUGAGUGUUCCACGUCCACUAUGCUCGAUAAUAUGGAAAUUUCCCGCAUCCAAGCUUAUGCUCAAAAUUUGGAGGAUCGAAAAUGGUAGAAACACGAGGAUCGUGAUGAGGGUCAGUGCAAGAGAGCUAGGUCUACUAGCCAACUUGAGGAUUCUCCGGGUGGUCCUAGGCCACCAUAUUCUGUAGAUAGUGCCCCUUCACAGUUGCAGAGGCCGCGUUAUGAGGGAUAUAUUUAUUCUGAAUAAGGUCAGGGUUCGAGGGCUUUGGGUUACCUGAAUCAUAGGGAUUCAGCACAGAUAAGGGUACCUCCUCCACUGUGUAGUCAAUGCGGUAGAGCCCAUUCCGAACGAUGUCAUCAGGGAUUUAAUACAUGCUAUACCUGUGGAAACCGCAGUCAUUAUAUGAGAGAUUGUCCGGUAAAGGACAAAGGUUGGAUGGCUCAGCCCACCGGGUCUGUAGCAGCCUCCUCCUUUUCAGCACGUCCCCUAGAGUGAGGCCCUCAAACAUCAACUGAAAGAGGUAGAGGCAGAGGUGGAGAAUCCUGCUCCAGCAAUAGUCAUAAUCGCAUAUAUGCUUUGAUUAGGCAUCAAGAUCAGGAGCAACCAAGCGAUGUUGAUACGGGUAUAUUUACUAAAUGUGUGUGACCAAGAGUUAUUGUUGCUUGUUAUGGCUCAUUGAGGCGUUUAUAUUGCGUUUUCUAGCAGUAUACAUGUUGAAUUUUAGUUUAAUUUAUAGAGAAGACUCUGGUACUUUUGUACGUUAGAUUUGUUGUAAGUUAAUAGACAUAAGUUCAAGGACAAGAUUAUUUUUGAGAUUUUAAGUGCUUAUGCUGAGUUUAGAAAAUGUUGAGGAAGUGUCGUAAGGAUUAUAGGUCAACAAAUCAAAGAGAAUAAGUUUCAUCAAUGUAAUACCCCAUGCUUUCAGACUAUGUCUUAAGCCCCUUAACAUAUGCAAGUAGACCUGAGCUACGAAGAAUUUUGUUCAUAUUCAAGUAUGCAAAUAAAGAGCACGAUAUAUAAUAAGAUGAAGUCCCAAAAUGAUGUAGGAUAUAAGAGUGUGACGAUUGUGGCUUGGAAUAAUAUUUGGUAUGUAUAAGGAGGCUAUGGACUAGAAUUAUACCACACGAUAGUGAUAAUGAAUUUAUGAAGUAUGUAUAAAAUGAUUAUUAUUUAAGUGAAUUAAGAUCAAGAAAUUAAUUAUGCGGGUUAUUAGUUAAAUGCAAGGAUGUAAUUACGAGAUUAGUGGAAGAAAAAUGUCAAAGAUAGGGGGCAAUUAUGGAGUCCAUGUGGUACUACUCAAAUCUCCACCUUAUGACUCAUGUUUCAUUGGAUAGGUAUGUCUUAGUGGUUGCUCCAUGGCCAUGCUUCUUUUUCUUAUUAAAUGAAUAUUAUGUGGGCCCCACAACCGACUUAGUAUUACGAAAUUUCAAAGUUCUAUUUCAGAAUAUGUAUAUUAUUAACAAGCAUAACAACCUAGCCUAGAAGCACAAAAACAUGAGAGAUUGAGAGGAAACUUUGGGAUUUUAUUUUUCAAAUUUUUUGUAUCUAUUGAUGGGGCAAAACGUGGGAAGAAAAAUCAUAAUAGAGAAUUUAUUCCUCAAUCUCUCAUUGAUUAGGUUGUUGUAGUUACUUGCGGCAUGAUUCUUUUGAGCAUAACUAGUAGGUCCUAGUUUAGUAAGGUAAGAUUUCAUCUCUCCUACAUAUUCUUGAGGUACUUUGGUCUUUAUAUAACUUGUUAUUGUUGUUAUACGGAGGUAGUUUCAUUGUAUAUGGAUAGUAGAUAUUGUUAUUGUUGAUAUGCUUCUUGAAGUUGGAAGAAGGAGAAAUAUAAGGUACCGUAUACGAAGCAUAUGUUGGGCUAUCUUGGUGCAUAUUCUUAGGUGUUGAUGAUGUGAAUCCUAAGGUAUUAAAAGAGGUUGUAGUUGUGGUUGUUAAAGAAUAAGGGAAAUGUCGUCCGUUCCACUUCCGAUCCGAAUUAUCGUUUGAUAUAAGUGAUAUACUAGCAUCAUGUAAGUCCCCAUAUGCAUUCCUUUAUUGUAGGAUUGGUGUACUAGUUACGACGAGUUCGUUGUUGGAUUGUGUUGACGACUUGAGGUAUGUUAAGGCUAAUCCUUCUCUCUUUUGGCACGAUCCAAGUAACAAAACCUAAAUAUAAUGUUAUUCUAUAAAUUGUUCUACUCUUAGCAGUUAAGGAUGCGUUCAUUUUCGCGCCCCGUUUUCUCGCGAAAGCAGGUUUCGAUGUGUGACAACUCUUUUAAAGGGAGGUAUUAAAAGAGAAGAGUCGCCACCUAAUAAUUUUUAAGGUGUGUUAGGGCACCUAUUUGCAAGUAACUCUGUUUGACUAGUCCAUAUCACCAAAGAUCGGGUAAGGGCUCAAGUUACUUCGAAGGAAAAGUGUUAGGCAUUCUUUGAAGUCCACAACUGUGGAUCCCUACCGAACUUUGAACUAUGUGGAAUAUGUCAUUAGGCUAGGCGAUCAAAAUAGACAAAGGGAAAUUUAGGAGUCGAAGAGUCUUGCUAUAAUACAUGUGAAUCGGUACGAAUCUUAAUGAUUACAAGGAUAUAACUACAUCGGUCUAUAUUAAAUGACUAAGUGUAAAUAGUUAGUAUAUAAAGAAAGGGGGGGGGAUCCUAAGCUUUUUAUCCUAAAGGAUCACCCCGUGCAACAUAAAUAAUACUUCGCAACUUCCUUAAGGUAGGGGUUGCUCAUAUUAUUCAGCGAGCACAAACUAUCAUCUCCUACUACCCAAUUACUAUGUUGAAAUUGUUACCUAAAGGCGUUCUAAUUCAAUUAUAGGCCGUACCCUAUGCGUGCACUAAAUGUCACAUACCUGUGGUCCAGGAGGCUUUGGACCUCUAUUUAGGUGGUUCUAGACUCUACUUAGGAUGCUCUAAAAUGAUAAAACUUACGCGCAUUCAAAACAUAUAGGACUACACAUAAAUGCAAGAAAAGGCUCAAGUUAACCUCCACACAUAAACAGCAAAUUGCACGCAUGAAGAUUUAGCAAUAGGCAAUUUUUAGAAUUAAGAUGCAUUAACGUCGUUAAGUCCUAUAUGCAUGAUCUCUAUAUGAUUUUAGUAUUAUACAGGCAGUGCUGCGGUUUCUGGACUAACGAAUUUGCAGAUGUUAUAAACCUAUAUACAUGAUCUCUAAACUAUUUACGCAAUGAGGUAGUAAAACUGUUUGAAGGCUUAGAGUUAACGAUGUUCGAUUUAUAGACAUGCUUUCUAGAUGAUGAAUAAUGUCCUAUAGACAGGAUUGACAAUUGAUCUUGAUUUUUAUAAUACUUUAUCCCUAUAGGCAUAUCAUCUGGGCGGGGCAGUGCAAUGAAAAUGACAGAAGUAUUAAUCAAGUAGUUAAGACCCUAUAGUCAUGAUAUCUCGAUGAGUGUUACAAAGGUAUGUAUUAUUACAUCCUAUAGGCAUGUUGUCUGAUAGUGCACAACAAUAGGCAUGGAAACAGGUACAACACUUACUAAAACCAACAUGCUUUGAAUAGUGUACAGGUAUUAGACAAGUUGAGUGAAGUAUGUGAUUUCAUACAGGCAUGGUUUCUAUGUGUGUACAGAUAUAAAACAUGCCAAACAAAAGUUGCAAAUAGGUAGAUCUUAUAGGCAUGAUCUCUACUCGUUUAUGCGAGAAUUAGAAUACCCCAACCCCUUUUCACUAAUCUCCCCAUUGUUUGUUUACAAAUUAUUACAGGCCCAAAGAUAAAAGAAGAAACAAAUUCAAAUAUUACAGAAUCGAGAUGACUACAGGCUCUAAAAAUAGAGCAGACCCAAGAAGAGGUAACCCAGUAUUGCCUGGGCCUUCAAUAGGCUCGUUCCUCACAUAAGUAGAAGACCUAGACCCAAACUCAGCUCAAACACUGGAAUGUAUGUCCAUUUGCACAACCACAAGCCACUCAUGGACUCAUAUCAAGCCCAACAUUUACAAUAUUGAUCACUUAACCAAAUAAGUAAAUGGACCACACACAAAAAUCAACUAAACAGCCCCAAGGCAAUAACUCAUAGAGACAGGAUUGUGUGACACAUUACAAGAUUCAUACACGCAUUGGCAUUUCAGAAGCGAGAGUGACAGGAUUGAUUAGGCAAAGAACAAGAAACUAGGAGAACCCACAUACUUGAUUUCGAACAUGGUAAAUGUAAUAUAGAUUAAACAAUUAAGCGAGUAACAACAUGCUAAAGAUAAACAUAAUACUAGGGGAGUUAAGGGGACAUGCCAUUUGGGAUUAAUGAGGGAAACAUACUAGACACAUACAAGAUGAAUAUGCUAUGUUUUUUCAGAAUGAGCUCAGCAUAAAGCAUGAUCCAUAGUUAAAAAAAGGUAUUUUGAACCUAGGAGUCUAAGUCUUGAAGGUCGAUAGGAGUUAGAGUCAGAAAAUGACAAUUACACAUAACAAACAAGCAGGCAAACAGUCAAUAGGGAGCCUAAUCAUGCUGAGUGCAACACAAAGAUCCCCAAGUUCAAAGGUAUCAUGAUAUUAAUUCCAGAUUAACAUGUCAAACAGGCAUUAGGACUAUCUCAGUUGACUAUAUAGGAAGAGUAGGUUGAAUGUUUUGAGAUUCUUCCUAGCAGUUUUUAAACAAUCCGCGAGUACAUAGUGAUAGCAACAUUUAGAGUUUACAAACAGCAAGAGACCCAGUUGGGAUAGUAUUAGCAUAUAAAUUCCUCAUGAAUUGACUCUAAGCAAAUAGUAGAUUGUACAUGAAGGACUAGGCAGAAAGCAGUUCAUUUGGACAAAUUCCAGACAUGAAUUAGUUCCUCAUAAGAGUCUACGGCAUAGACUCAUAACCAGAUGGGAAUACGUAACCAGCUAUACAUGAACAUAAUGAUUAGAAAUCAUUCAGGUUGGACACACAUAAUGGGCAUGCAUUAAGGCUAGCAUAUUAGGCUAAGCAUUUAGACAGUAUUAUCAUAUAACUUGCAGAGAAAUAACACAUUAUGCAUAAAGGAUUAAACAUGAAGAGAGCAAUUUUGAGCAAGAGCAUAGUUUCCUAAGGGUUUUAGUACAAGGUUCUACAACCAUCAAUUAGGUUUGAAUUACGAAUCAGGCAAGCAUCAUGAAUCAACUUAGCUAUCAUUAAAAUCAAAACAUGCAUAGAAUUGAAUCUAAUGGAACUACAAAAUAGUAUCAAAAUAAGCAGAAUUGCAUACGAAGUGGAAUAAUAUCAAAAUUAACUCAGGAAAAUUCAAGUAGUACUAAUGCACAUAACAUGAACACGAACAUAAACAAGUAGAAUUGCGAGAGUAUAGGGCACUAACCAGUUGCAAAUAAAGCGAAUAAAGAAUGAGAAACUCAAAAUCUCAGGAAUAACAAUAAUUGCAAGAGAGUAAUGAAAACCCCAAAAUCUCCAGCACUUCAGAGUUCACAAGAGCCUCGAAGUGGGCUCCGAGCAGUGCCUGCACUGGAGGAGGCUAAUGAACGGAUUUCGGUGGCCUUGCCUUUCAGCCGGCCAAAAUCAAAAGUCUCAGAAUAGUAUAGAAUCAGUGGGAGUGAGAGAAUAGUAGUGGUAACAAUAGUUAAGUCAAUCGUUCAAUUUUUCCAAGGGGAACAGAAAGUAGGGUUUAUAUAGUGGUAGAAAUCGAACAAGCAAACAUGAAAAAAAAUUAAUGAAUCACAAAUAAGGAAAGAAUAUCACAUGCAAUCAAUAAUAAAAUUGUAAAGAAGAAAACAUUGAAAUUUCAAACCCUAGUUCGACGGAAAGCAAAGAUUGGCCAAAGAUCUUGGUUAAUCGGAUCCUCAUAGCCUUACUAUGAACACAUAAAGAUAAAAUAUCAUCUAAAUCUAGGAGAGUGAAGCCAGUUUCCUUUGAUUUAGAGACUUGUACUUACCAAAAAAUGGGCAAGUACUAAGUAACACCAUAUUUACAAAGGUAAUAGUGAUAUAAUCCAGGAAAGGUAAGUAAAUCAUGGUAAGAAUCCGUGGAUGAGUUGGACUCAGAGAAGAAUUGGGGUAGCGGUUAGGGUUUGUGAGGUAAGGGGAGGUUUUGAGGAUAUAUAGAGGUGGCUGAUCGAGUAAAACGAGGCUAGGGUUUGGGGUGAAGUUAAUUAGAAGAGGGGAGAUGGAAUGUGGGUCGUUGAUCUCCUAAGAUCAACGGCCAAGAUUUUAAUGAGAGGCGGAUCGGGUUAGUGGAUGGGUGUGGGGUAGUGGAUUGCUGGUAUUGGGCUAGGGGUUAUUGGGCUGGAGUUUAGGGUGUGGUCUGGUGAAUUAGGUCCGAAAUAUGGCCUGUUUUGGGCAAGAUUUUAAAUACAAGAAAUUAAAGAGAAGAUAAUUGAAUGAAAUAGCUAAAUAAUAUAAAAGUAGUAUUUAUACAACUUAAUAUUUUUAAAAAUAAUAGCUGAAAAUUAUAACAAUAUAAAAAAUUAUUUUGACCCUGAAUAAAAUGACAAAUGAAAUUAAUUGUAAAAAUAUAGGUUAUUAUGCAAAUGUGAUUAUGGAAUGAACUAAAAUGUUAUAAAACAUAUGUGUGGGUGUAAUAAUUAAUUUGGAUUAUUAAUUCUUCACAAAAUAAAUUUUGAAGGAUAAUUAAUAAAUAUUUGAACAAUUUAAAUGCAAGAAAAAUAAUUUUAAAGCCUCAAAAAAUUGUGAAAAAUUACAGAAAAUACUUAUAUGACCCCUAUAAAUUGGUGAUGAUGUAGGAAUGAUAUUUUAGAAGCAUAUAUGACUUUUAUAAAAAUAUGAGGGCAAAUUUGGGUGUCAACAUCUACCCAUCUUUACCCGAGAAUGAUGAAAGAGUUGUUGGGUAAGAAAAUGAUGACCAAUUUUGUCCGAAGUGAGUAAGGAAUGAUGUGUUUUGAAACAAUGGUGGUCGAACCCUGGUUCAUGAGUUGCCUACGUAUCCUUGGUGUUACAGGAAUCAGGCCGUGUGUAGUUCUGGAUCCGACGGCGAAUGAAACCGAUGGAGUUUUUAUAAGAGUGGUCGUGUGUUUCUAAAGGGACCCUUUGGAUAUGAUAGUGUCGUGAGUAACAAAUGAUUUCAGGUGGAGCUAUGAGAUUAUUACGGAUGUACAAGGCAGAUAUUUGAAUAUUUAUAGAACAAAGGGUAAUCAAUUGCUGAUCAUCGAUUACGUUUGAGAUAGUCGAAGGAUGUGGAUGUUGUGAACGGAAAUCGGAGCGAGAAUUGCUCCUGUUUGUAGAACGGUUACCUCCUGAGUUACCUGUAAAACUUAAAACACGAUGCAUGCAAAUAUAUAUGGGUUAUUGUAAAAAUUUAAACAUGAUGCAAAUUCCCUUCGGACCAUGAGAGUUGUCUUUGGAUGACGAGGAUGAUGUCCUUAGACUAUGACGUCCUGGGCCAUGAAGCGUUUGAUAAGGGAUUCGCCGGCUAUGAAAUGAUGUCCUCGGUCCAUAAGGAUGGUGCCUUUGGACUAUGACGCCUUUGAAUAAUGAUGUGCAAUUUUGAGAGAUCCUCAGGCCAUUGCAUGAUGUCUUCGGGCUACGAGGAUGGUGGCUUUGGACUAUUAUGCCUUCGAACAAUGUGGUGGUGUUUCAGCCUAUGAAAUGCAAGUAUGUGGUAAUAUCGAUCGCUUGAUAAAGGAAAUAGAUGAUUCCUAGACAUUCACUAAAAAGAGACAAGACAAGGCUUAGUCUUAUAUGAGAUGAGGGCAACGCUUAGCCCGUUGUAAAGAAAGGAGAUAAUGCUUAAUCUUAUGCCGUGUAACAUAGACAGAGUUUAGUCUCAUGCAAGGGAAGGCGAUGCCUAUCCUAAUGCCAUAAUGGAGGCAGUGCUUUGCCUCGUGAGAGAAAGAGAGACAGUGCUUAGUCUCAUGUGAGCAAGGAAGUGUUUACCCUUAUGCAAUAAUGGAGACAGUGCUUAGUCUCAUGCGCGAAAAGGCAAUGCUUAACCUUAUGCAAUAAUGGAGGCAAUACUUAGCCUCAUGCAAUAAUGAAGAUAAUGCUCAGUCUCAUGCAAGCAAGGCAAUGCUUAGCCUUAUGCAAUAAUAGAGAUAAUGCUUAGUCUCAUGCAAACAAUUGAGAUAAACAAUUGAGAUAAUGUUUAGUCUCAUGCAAAGAAAGGUAGUGCUUAGCCUUAUGCAAUAAUGGAGAUAAUGCUUAGUCUCAUGCAAGGAAUGGAGACAGAUCAUAGUCUCAUGAAAAUAAAGGCAAUGCUUAGCAUUAUGCAAUAAUGGAGAUAAUGCUUAGUUUCAUGCAAAGAAUGGAGACAUAGUUUAGUCUAAUGCAAAGAAUGGCAGUGCUUAGCCUUAUGCAAUAAUGGAGAUAGUGAUUAGUCUCAUGCAGAGAAUGGAGACAAUGUUUAGUCUCAUGCAAGGGAGGGCAAUGCUUAGCCUUAUGCAAUAAUUGAGAUAGUGCUUAUUCUCAUGCAAAGAAUGGAGACAGUGUUUAGUCUCAUGCAAAAAAAGGCAGUGCUUAGCCUUAUGCAAUAAUGGAGACAAUGCUUAGUCUCAUGUAAAGAAUGGAGACAGUGUUUAGUCUCAUGCAAUGAAAUGCAGUGCUUAGCCUUAUGCAAUAAUGGAGGAAGUGCUUAGUCUCAUGCAUAGAAUGGAGACAGUGUUUAGUCUCAUACAAGGGAAGGCAAUGCUUAGCCUUAUGCAAUAAUGGAGACAGUGCUUAGUCUCAUGUAAAGAAUGAAGACAGUGUUUAGUCUCAUGCAAGGGAAGGCAAUUCUUAGCCUUAUGCAAUAAUGGAUAUAGUGCCUAGUCUCAUGUAAAGAAUGGAGACAAUGCUUAGUCUCAUGCAAGGAAAGGCAAUGUUUAGCCUUAUGCAAUAAUGGAGACAAUGUUUAGUCCCAUGCAAGGAAUGGAGACAAUGCUUAGUCUCAUGCAAGAAAGGCAGUAUUUAGCCUUAUACGGUGAUGGGGGCAGUGCUUAGCCCUAUGCAGGAAGAAUAAUGAUUGAAUGCGAAAAGGCAAAGUAUUUCUUAGCUUGAUGCAUUUGCGUUUGGCGACUUUUGUCGGUGUGAAGAUAGCAAUCUUGUUGUGUAUAUAUAUUUUGUGGACGUUCUUGUUAUAUCCAUUGUGCCUGUAUCCAAAGGAAAAUUAUGAGUUUGGAGGGGAAAGGUUAGUUCGUGCUCUCGAUUCAUUGCUUUGCGUUUGUUCCUAUCUUGAGGUCUCGUUUGAGUUUUCCCUGGUAACGUCUAGCUACUAUAGAAUGAAAUUUUUGAAAACAUGCAUUUGUGAUAAAUUGUUUAUACAUAAGAAAUGUAGUUGUUUGAAAUAUAUGAUGAUUCAUGAGAGCAAAUAAUUUGUUGAAUCGAUGACUGUGACAUGCCUUUGAGACAUCGCAACCACUUUGACUCGGAAUUUUGAGGAUCCUCCUAAACAUUCUGCCACGGUUUAAAUGCAUUCUUCUAGCGAUACAUUACUUGGCGAUUCUAAACAUAAUGAGAUCGGGUGAACUCGAGUUGUUGCCCCAGUUUAUUACCAUAGGGGGAAUGAAGAAUUUAUUAUGAUUUGACCGAACCCACUGGGCUGCCUACGUAUCCCCUCUUAAACAGGAAUCAGGUUAAGCGUAGUUAAGGUUACAUCAAAUAGAAAGUGCAAACAUAAUCUUAAACAUAAUAUCUCUUGACUGUGUCUGAAUUGAUAGGUUUUGGCCAUAUCUCUCCAUCCAUCUCUUUGAGUAUGAGUGCUCCUCCUGUCAGUACUCAGUGAAUCAUGUAAGGGCCCUGCCAAUUGGGUGAGAAUUUCCCCUUUGCUUUAUCCUUAUGUGGGAAGAUCCGUUUCAAUACCAAUUGCCUCGGUGUGAAUUUCCUUAACCUAACCUUUUUGUUGAAAGCUCUUGCCAUUUUGUUUUGGUAGAGUUCACUGAGACACACUGCGUUCAAUAUCUUACCAUCAAUGAGAGCUAGUUAUUCAUACCGGUUCCAUACCCAUUCUGCGUUGUUGAGCUUGACUUCUUAUAUGAUUCUUAAGGAAGGGAUCUCCACUUCAGUGGGAAUAACGACUUCAGUAGUGUAAACCAGUAGGUAGGGGGUUGACCUAGUGGACAAGCGAACAGUGGUGCGAUACUCGAGUAAAGAAAAUUGUAGCUUUUGUGCCAUUGCUUGUAGUUGUUCACCAUUUUCCUCAAUAUCUUCUUGAUGUUCUUGUUAGCGGCUUCUACGGCUUCGUUCAUUUGUGGCCUGUAUGCUGUAGAGUUCCGAUGCUUGAUCUUGAAUAUUUCACACAUAGCUUUCAUCAAGUCACAGUUGACAUUGGUGGCAUUGUCAGUAAUGAUUGACCCAGGUACUCCAAAUCGACAAACAAUGCGAUCCCGGACAAAAUCCACUACAGCCAUGUUAGUCAUAGACUUGUAGGAUGCAGCUUCAACCCAUUUUUUGAAGUAGUCUAUGGCCACCAAAAUUAACCUGUGUCCGUUUGAAGCAGCGGGUUCGAUUGGUCUGAUGACAUCCAUGCCCCAAGCAGAGAAAGGCUAGGGUAAACUCGUUGCAUUAAUCUCGUUGGGCGGUAAUCAUAUCAUAUUAGCAUGUAUCUGACAUUGGUGACACUUUUGAACAUAUUUGAUAUAGUCUGUUUCCAUAGUCAUCCAAACAUACCUUGCUGUUAAUAUCUUCUUGGUCAUAACGAAACCGUUCAUGUGGGGUCCACAGGUUCCAGCAUGUAUUUCUUCGAGCAAUCUAGAUGCCUCCUUGGCAUCGACACAUCGCACUAAUCCUAAGUGAGGAUUUCUUCUAUACAGAAUUCCUCCGCUUUGAAAGAAAUGACUGGCCACUCUUCGGAGUGUGCUCUUCUGAGUGUGUGUAGAAUUCCCUUGAUAUUCUCCCUUUUCUAAGUUUUCUUUGAUGUCAUGGAACCACGGAUUUCCGUCAAACGCUUCUUCAAUAUGAGCACAAUAAGCUGGCUGCUUAUGAAUUCCUAUUGGGAUAUGAACGAUGAAAUUCUUGUUUGGGUGUUGUAUCAUUGAAGACAAGGUGGCUAAUGCAUCUACAAACUCAUUCUGAAUCCUUGGAACAUGUUUGAACUCUAUCUUUUUGAACCUCUUGAUCAACUCCUGUACACAAUGCAAGUACAGUAAAAAUUUGGUAUUCUUAGUAGCCCAUUCUCCUAGAACCUGAUGCACCAAUAGAUCUGAAUCUCCGAUUACCAGCAGCUCCUGAAUGUUCAUAUCGACGGCUAACCUGAGUCUCAAGAUGCAGGCCUUAUAUUCUGCCAUAUUGUUGGUACACAGGAACCUGAGUUUUGCAGAUACCGGGUAAUGUUGACCAGUUUAUAAUACUAAGACAGCCCCGAUGACCACUCCCUUGAAGUUUGUUGCUUAGUCGAAGAACAUCCUCCAACUGUCGUAUGCUUCGGUAAUAUCCUCUCCUAUAAAUGAUACCUCUUUGUUGGGAAAAUACGUCUUCAGUGGUUCGUAUUCUCCGUCUACGGGAUUUUUUACCAAAUGAUCAGCCAAUGCUUUCCCUUUGACUACCUUCCGAGUUACAUAGAUGAUAUCGAACUCACUCAGUAAUAUCUUUCACUUUGCUAACUUACCCAUAGGCAUGGGCUUCUGAAAGAUGUAUUUUAGCGGAUCCAUCCUUGAUAUGAGAUAUGUAGUGUACGCAUAAAAAUAGUGUCUCAACUUCUAGGCUAUCCAUGUCAAAGCACAGCAGGUGCGCUCCAACAAAGAGUACCCGUCUUCGUAAGGCGUGAACUUCUUGCUCAGAUAAUAUAUCGCCUGCUCCUUCCUCCCAGUUUCAUCAUGUUGUCCUAAAAUGCAACAAAAGGCCCCAUCCAACACAGACAUAUAAAGCAACAUAGGUCUUCCUGGUUCUGGUGGGACCAACACGGGUGGUUUAGAUAAAUACUCCUUGAUUUUGUCGAAGGCUUUCUAGCAUUUUUCAGUCCAGCUUGUUGCAGCAUUUUUCUUUAGCAUUUUAAAGAUUGGCUCACAUAUCACCGUUGAUUGUGCUAUGAAACGGCUAAUAUAAUUGAGGCGCCCUAGAAAACUCAUCACAUAUUUCUUAUUCUUUGGCGGUGGCAAGUCUUGGAUAGCUUUGAUUUUUGACGGGUCUAGCUCAAUACCUCGACGACUGACGAUGAAACCUAACAACUUUUCAGCAGGGACUCCGAAUGCACAUUUUGCGGGGUUCAACUUCAAGUUGUAUUUUCGAAGCAGAUCAAAAAGUUUCUUCAGGUCUGCUAUGUGAUCCGAACUCCUUUUAGAUUUGAUGAUAAUAUCAUCCACGUAGACCUCUAUUUCCUUGUGUAUCAUGUCGUGGAAGAUAGUCGACAUGGCCCUCAUGUAGGUGGCCCCAGUGUUUUUCAAACCAAAUGACAUUAUUUUGAAACAAUAUAUCCCCACGGUGUGAUAAAGGCAGUCUUUUUGGCAUCCUCUUCAUCCAUUCAAAUCUUAUGGUAUCCUGCGAAGCAAUCCACAAAGGAUUGGAGUUCAUGUUUGGCGCAGUUGUCAAUAAGUAUGUGUAUGUUAGGCAGCGGGAAAUCAUCCUUAGAAUUUGCUCUGUUCAGAUCUCGGUAAUCGACACAUACUCUAACUUUCCCAUCUUUAUUUGGAACUGGCACACUGUUGGCUAGCCAAGUCAGGUAUUCGACCACUCGGAGAACCUUAGCUUUAAUUUGUUUGGUGACCUCCUCUUUUAUCUUCAAACUCUUAUCCGGCUUGAACUUUCUGAGCUUCUGUUUUACCGGUGGACACAUGGGAUUGGUAGGUAGCUUAUGAACUACUAUGGAUGUGCUCAACCCAGUCAUAUCGUCAUAGGACCAUGCGAAAAUAUCCUCAUAUUCUUUUAGAAACCUGAUAUACUCUUCCUUUUUUGUUGGUGAUAGACAGAUGCUUAUGCGAGUUUCCUUGACUAUUUCAGAAUCCCCUAAAUUAGCGGCCUCAGUUUCCUCCAAAUUAGACUACGGUUUGUUUUCAAAAUUCUCUACUUCUUUGAUAAUUUCCUCAGGUAUUACAUCAUCCUCUAGAUCUUCCGAAUCACUGUGCUUAUGUUGCGUUGUCUCAUUACAUGUCAAAGUCGUAGGUUCACCAGGAUAUGUAAUUAUUAUGCUGAAAAUAAUGUAGAAAUAUAAUAAUAAAUAUGAAAAGCAGUAAUGCAUUAAUAAAACUUUAAAAUAUCAACAAGUGCGACUCGAUGGCUCGAGCAAUUAUUUCAAAACAAAAUACUGAAAAUGUCUUAAAUGCUCAAAACAAUUUGUAAUCAAGUAAUGCUAAUUUGCCAGGCUACCCAGGAACUCGGCAGGCUCGGGAUGGUGUAGCGGUCCAGUUCUUGAGAACAACUCCUUCUUCCAUUGUCUGAAUGGUAAGAUCUUACUCCAAAGGUCGUCAGUGCCAGUCUCAACAACAGGAGGCUUAGGUGCAGCUUCCUUGCUUGUUCCUCCCAGAUUCUCAAGUUUGUAAACUCUGCCAGUUCUAGUCAUACCAUGCGCGGCACCUGUUUCUUCCAUUUUGGCUUUUCCCUUUCUACUUGCUUCCACAACACAAUUCCACGAGACGACAUCAAACUCGUAAGAUGGUGUGGGAGCUACCAUUACAGUGAAGGGUGUAGCUAUCUCAACUUCAAAUGGCACCUGGGUUUGUACCACAACUAGCGUGAGGGUGACCGAAGAUGUUUUAGGAGCGUCUCUUUCUCGAAUGAGUCCAAUGGACACUUCCAGAUUCUACUCUUCAUCAAUUUAUAUCACCUCUGUGAUCUAGGAGAGGGUUAUUGCGGACGUUCGGUGCAAGUUCCCUUGCUUGUAUAACCUUAGUGUCGAUUAGGGCCUUCAGUAUUUUAUACAGUUGGGCUAUGGGUUCAGCAAUUGGGGUGUAUUGUCAAGGAGGUCCGCGGUUGAAAUUUGGACGUGGCUUUGGGUAGCUUUGGCGGGCAGGUGGAGAUGAAUGGUAAUAUACAGGUUGAGUGUGGUAGGUAUGGUAGGUGGUGGCAGGGUAUUGGUAUUUUGGGGGUGAGGGUUGAUAAGUGGGUGGAGGUGUUUGGUAUGUGAGGGGAGACUUAGGGCCUUAGGCUACCAUCACGGCACCCAUUUCUUUCUUCUUUGAGAUACCUCCUCAUUGUACAACUUUAUUCGUGGCUUGCAGCGCCUCGAAAUUAGUUACCAUCCCACUCUUGAUUCCUUCUUCUAUUCUUUCCGAUAACUUGAUGAUGUCUGAGAACUUGUGAUUUUCGAUGACCAUCAACCGUUUAUAAUAUUACGGAUCUUGUGCUCUAACAAAGAACUUGUUCAUUUGUUCUUCUACAAGUGUUGGCCUUACUUUUGUGGCCUCUGAUCUCCAACUAGUAGCAUAAUCGCGGAAGGUUUAUGUCGGCUUCUUCUUGAGGUUUUGAAUGUAGAAAACAUCUGGCGCAUUUUCCGUGUUGAACCUAAAUCUGUCCAUGAAAUCUGAUGCCAUACUUUCCCAAUUAGCCUACUUCUUUGGGUUUUGACUGAUAUACCAAGACAAAGCAUCUCCUGUAAUUCUUACCCACUCUUACAAGCUUGUCGCAAAACAUUCUUAGAUGCACCUUCAGAUCACCAAUGCCAUCGAACAUUUCGAACUUUAGAGGUUUGUAACCCUCUGGCAGUUCCACAUCUGGCUGAAUACACAGAUCUUUGUAAUUCAGACCUUCAAUGCCUUUCCCUCCUUCAACACUCUAGUCCCUCCCUGUGAGUUUCUUGAGUUCCUUCGCCAUGUUUCUAAUGAGCAGGUACUUCUCAAUCGAUUCAGGUAUGCAUAGGGUUUGUUGCGGGGUAUGGGGUAAGGUUUCCAUAUAUUUUGGAUUGCUUUGAUGAGCUCAUGGAACUUGGAUAUAUGGGUGGUCGUUGAUUGAGUUUUGUGGAUUGGGAAUAGGUUGUGGUGCAUUUUGGGAGUGUGAUAUGUAGUGGUUUGCGGGUAAUAAGUUGGAUGAUGGUGAUGUUGUUGAGGGGUUUGCACUGGUGGUGGGUUAAGGUUCUGGGGAGGUACGGGAUUAUGAUACUGGUGUGGUGUGGGAGGAUUUGGAGCCAUGGGUGGUGGGUUCUGGUUUUGUGUGUUUUGUGGUGGUAUUUGGUUUUGGGUAGUCAGGUUUUGCUGGUUGAUGUCGGGAACAUUGAGAGUAAGGGAAAGGUUUGCCAGAUUUCGGUCCUGCUCAAGCUCGCCCUGUAGUUCCAGGAUUUUCUGCUCCAAACAUAAGACCAACUCAUUCUGUCCCAGAGUACUUCUACCAUAUGAAGUUUCAACAUUUUCCGUCACAACAUUGUCUUUCCGGAUACCACUUAAAUCAUCCAUUUUCCCUUUGCCCUUGCUUUUGCUUUUCGGGUCACUAUGUGGAGGAGGGGGUAGAUGACCUCUGAAUCUAGUAUGGUAUGCUGACGAUGCCAGUAUGUACGAACCAACCUUUGGGAAUGGGAGUAAUCAGAAAGAAAAAAAAAAGCAAAAGGUAAACUAGUUAGUAAGGUGGAAUAAAAGAGUGUUCGCAAUAUUUAUACAUGUUUCACAAAGUCAUGCAAUAAUUCACGUCCUAAUUUGCGGACCUCAUUGUGCCUGAGGUAGGCCUAAGCGACACAUAGACUUGGAGAAAAUUGGUGCCAACGUUUGCUUCAUUUCAUUUAUGCGAAAGUGAACCAAAACAAUCUUUUACUAGAUCGACAGUAAUAUAAUAAAAGUUACUAAUGGCAUUUAGCCUUAUUACAUCGAAAUAUAAUCUAAGCUAGAAAGCAGUAAAGAACAUCAUCUUCUAAUCUACUUGGUCCCUGAAGGACCUUCUCCAUGCUUGGAUCUUUUAACAUCAUCAAUCAUGUUUCCCAGAUCGCGCAUAUCUAGCAAUAAUUAAGAUUUUGCCAGCUUCCCUCCUUCAUCGUUGUCCAUGCCUUGACAAUCCGAAAGUCGCUUUCUUAUCUUCCCUUUUAGCUCUAUCAGUCCCUGUUCCAGGUAUUCCAAUCUUUCCAUUGACUUAGUGGCAAUCUCCUUCUAUUCCCUUAUUGCCUCCAUGUUCACUUUGUGCUGCUCUAGAUGUUUAGAUUUAGACUCAAACACCCUUUUGCGUAGCCUCUUGUACUUCACCUGUGACUCAGCCGCUUCGUCUAUGAUCCUAUCCUUCAGAUUAACCCCUGGUUUGAUGUCCCCAGCUACGUCAUCUUCAAGCCAUGAUAGAUAGUAGUACAUAGGAUCGGCAUGAUACCUGUUUGGCUCAAUAGUUUCUCCUUCCACAAUGAUCUUUUGGUUCCACAUGUGUUGCGCUUCGAACUUGAAUGGGAUGACAUCUCCCUUAGAAUCUGCCUUGUACUGGACCAUGUUGGAAACCCGGGGUAUGACUUGUUUUCUUCCAGCUUGUCUCAUUACCCUUAUAGGAGCGUAAGGGUAGAUGCCUCGCAGCCCGAUCAGUAACAAAUGGUAGUUCCUUUUGAUCUGAUGAUGAACUCACUACUAGGAAACCAAUCAAACAUCUAAUGCACUUGCUCGUCUAUCAGAUUGCUAAAGAAAAAGGGCCCAACUUACAACAUUUUUAGGAUUUGCAAACCUCUCAGGGAUAAACGUCAUUUUCUUUGGGUGAUGGUUGGCUAUGUAGUCAUUUAGUGGCCUUCACAAAGGUUGUUGACGAUACUCACCCCUCUGAAAGUGUUCCAGCAACCAGACUUGUAGUACUAGAUUGAAACUCUCAAAGUGUCCAAACCCACUCUUGCACCGAUCUAGAGCACGGUACAUCUUGGCUAAGAUCAUUGGAAUGAUAGUAUAAGUUUGUCCUUCGAUACCAUCCAUCAAGGUCCUGGCGACCAUGGCUAAGCGAGUAUGAAUUCUUCCUCCUUUCAUUGGAAAGAUCAACAACCCUAGGAAGCAGACGAUGAAAACAUAAACCCGGCGAUGCAACCAUCCCAAAGAAGUAAUGGAUAGUUCAUCAUGAUAAAGACGAUAUGACUUGCUAUGCCCAUAAUGCUCAUAAAGAAACUCAAAAGGGAUGUAUGAUUUCUUUAGAAAAAGCAGUUCAUCAUUUUUCUUAAAACCCAACAUUUUCAGAAAACCGUGGGGAGUGCAAUUCUCUGGUACUUGCAUGUUAGUGUCCUUUGGGAUUGUAAGGCCCCGUAAAUAUUUCACCUACAACCCGGGGUUUCGUAAUGCCGGGGUAGACUUAUGCGUUGUUGAACAGUGCAUUAGGGAUUUGAAGAAAAGUUUUAGAAAUAUAGGGCAUUUCUGCAGUCCAUUCUGUGGUCGCAGAACUGGUUUGCGGGCCGCAUAUCGGCCUCAGACUGAAGCAGAGAACUAUGCAAAUAUUUCAGACCAUUAUGCGGCCGCAUAAUCAUUUUGCGGGCCGCAUAACUCAUCGUAGACCCAGCAUGAAAAUAUCUAGAGGGAAGUUCUGCGGCACAUUAUGCGACCACAGAACAGGUCUGCAGAUCGUAGACUGGUCGCAGAGUGGGGCAGACUUGCCCAGUUCCGGAGGGUCAUUAUGCGACUCAUUUUGCAUGCCGCAGAAGCAUUAUGCGGUCACAUAUGUGACCGUAGAUCUGUGUCGGGGCUUCAUUUUCCUAAUUUUAUAAACAUUUCGUUUAUCUAGCCUAAGGGUACAUUUUUGGAGUAUCACUUCUCAUUUUAGAGAGGAGAGAACUAUUCUAGAGAGAGGAAAGGGAGGGUUAAGGAUUUCACUACUCCACCUUGAUCGGACCUUGGGAUUGCGUUGAAUGGAACUUGCUAGGGUUUCAAAGAGGUAAGUAUUUCUUUCCCCAAUUCUUCAAUUUAUGGUUUGGGGUUCAUUAUGGGUGAUAAUGGUAGAUUUAUCACAUGCAAGAGCUAAUAGGGAUUGUAGGGAAGUUGUUGAACAAUCUUGGGUGGUUUUGUUGUUGAAUUAUUGAGGGAAAGGUUGGGUCAUAGUUGUAACUGCCCUUGUCAUACAAAUUUCUCUAAUGGUGCUUGUAAUUCUCCCCUCCUCUAUAGAUUGACAUCGUUAGGAGUGUUGGGACAUUAUUGUUGCAUUACGAAAAGCUCUUUCGAGGUAUGUUGGCUAAACUCUCCUCUUAGAAUUGAACCCCACGACACCCUUGUAAGUCCCGUGAUGCUUAUUAUAAAUUGAAUUAUUCCAAAUAAGCAUUGUGUCAAAACAAAUAUGCAUUGAAUAUGUAUUCCAAAAAUCUUGUUUUGUUGAGUUACCGUUUGAGAAUAUGGUUUAAGCAUGGGCUGUGUGUUAUUGUAUAAAAGAAAUCAUAUGUGCCUAAGAUCCUAAAUAGCUCAAGUAUGUGUUAAAGUCUUAAUUUGAAAGGCCUUGUUGCUGAUUAUCCAUGAUGAUGAUUGAAAGUGAAAUAGUGAACAUGAAUUAUGAAGUACGACCAACGUGCCAAGAAUGAUAUUGCGUUUUGGCCAAUGGUGCCAACAAAAUGAAUGAUAUGUAAAAGAAUGUGAAAUGAGUGGUAAAUCCUUUUAAUAACAAAUGCCUUGGGAGUAUCGUUUAGCCACCGAUAAAGGGUAGGUCGGAACAACCUAACCCCGAAACUACACGUCCCAGUGUAGGAAUGAUGGAGGGGAAAUCCCCGUAUUAAUGUGAUGAGACUGUUUCCCCUUAUAUGGGAUGAGAUUGGUAUGUUGAGAUGUUUCCCCUUAAAUGGGAUGAGAUUAUUGCUAGCAAGAUGUGAUGCGAUGUUGAUCCACACGACAUGGUGGUGAGACGGCACAGCCGAUCGGGCUGAGAUCGAACGCCAUGCCAUACACAUGGUAGUAUUGUGAGUGUAUGUCUCAAGGUGAGACGACUUAGCCGGUCGGGCUAAGAUCGGAUUCCGUGCUAAAACACAGUGGUGUAUCGAUGCUAAAGAUCUCCUAACUGAAAUUACUAAAACUUACUUGAAAUUUACUGUUUCCCUAAUUUGACACUUUGAUACCGUUUGAGUCUCUUAUUGAUUUCAUGUUUUAUUCUUCAUUUACUGUUACUCGUUCUAUUGAGGGGGUGUUCAGUUUUACAUACUAGUACUAUUCUAUAUGUACUAACAUCCCUUUUGCUGGGGGCGCUGCAUCUUUAAUGGAUACAGGUGGUUUCAUAGCAGGUAGUGUUUAUUAGUGAUAGUAGCACACCCUCUCCUCAGCUAACUUGGUGAGCCCCACUUUAUUUCGGGGUCCUGUAUCUCUUGACCUUUGUACAUAGCAUUUGGAGGUAUAGCCGAGGCCUUAUUGCCGGCACUGUCAUAACACUCAUUUUUUUUCCCAUUAGAGGCUCCGUAGACAUAGUGUGGGUUGUAUCUGUUUUUGGGAAGGUUAAACUAAAAAUGUUGUAAUUGUAUCAUCUGUUCCACUUUAACUAUGAUUGUACAAUGUAAUGUUUUGGAGACUUGUUAAUGACGUAGCUAAGGGAAAUGAACUGGUGUUAUUCACAUGACCUCUUACUGUCUAAUUAAUGAAAUGUAUUCUUCUCUUUAUUUAUGGGUGAGUUGGGUAGAUGGCACUGUGCAGGUUUGCUCAAAUAGGGUAACUCUGUUGAGCGCCCGUCGCGCUCCCCGAGGUCGGGGCGUGACAAACUUGUUAUUAGAGCCUAAGGUUUUAAAGUGUCCUAGGGUGUCUCGGAGCCGCGUCUAGUAGAGUCCUUAUCGGUGUGUUGUCGACCACAUCUAUAAUUAGGAGGCUACUUGGGCUUUUAGGAAUAAUACCCUUCUUUGAUGAUCUAGAAGAUCGUGUGAUAAAGCUGAUUGUAAGAUUGUUCCUCCUUUAACUCAUGCACUGCUCUAAUUUUCAGUAUAUGGCGCCUAGGAUAAAAUCAAGAACUGGCCAAUGAGCCAAUGCCACCCCAGGAGUGGCAGUUGAUCCUUUACUUGUGAGCACCUGAGGGGUGAGAAUAUUCCCCCGAAUACUACAUUGCCUGAUUCCACUACACCUGAGCAGACCGCACCAGUUCUUACACCUACUGAGGAUGUAACGAUUCCUCUAAUGGAUAUUCCAGUCCCACCUUCAGCCGCAGUUUUCGAUCCCGGUGUAUCUGAUGGGGAUCAUAGGGGAGCCAUACCAAUGUUGGCUCAGAUAGUGGCUUCCCAGGCCUAGAGAUCAGAUGUUGCGCCCACUUCUUCUAGUCAGCCAGGGGAUUCCACUAGUUCCAGGGUGAAUAGAUUUCUCCAGUGGACCCUCCAGUAUUCACAGGUACUGAUCCUGAGGAGGACCCCCAGGAUUUAAUUGACGAGAUGCGCAAGACCCUCUAUGUUAUGUGGGCUACGGAGAUAGAGGGAGCAGAUUUGGCCUCUUACCGCCUGAAAGGGGUGGCCUAUUCUAGGCUUGAGAUGUGGGAGGACUCCCAUGAGGAGGGGAGCCCUAUGGCGAGGUGGAGUGAGUUUGCCGAUGAUUUCAUUGAUCUUUUCUUGCCUGCCGAUACUAAGGCAGCCCGUUCCGCUGAGUUUGAGAACCUAAAACAAGGUAGCAUGAGUGUGUGGGAGUAUCAUAUGAAAUUCGCGCGCCUGUCCAAAUAUGCCAUCUACAUGUUGCCUACUAUGGAGGCUAGAGUGCGCCGGUUUGUGGAGGGCCUUAGCCCCUUGGUUAUUAAUGAGGCCCCUACAGCUACCUUGAAUUCUGAUAUGAACUAUGGUAAGAUGGUGGCAUUUUCUUAAGCCAUAGAGACCUGCAAACUGAAGAACAAAAUCGAGGGAGAGAGUAGCCACAAGGCUCGGUCAGCGGGCAACUUCAGUGGUACUUCUAAGGGGGUCAUCAGGGCCAUCCCAGUCCUUUACUCAGUCUUCAGUUAGUGCACCGCCAUCGGGGCCUAGUCAGCAGCAGGGGGACCAGUUUAGGCCCAGCCAGGGUAACAGGGGAUCCUACCAGCAGGGUCGGUCUGGUGGAAGAUUUCAGCAGCAGCGGAGGUCCCCAUGCCCUAGGUGCGGGAAGAUGCACGUUGGGAUCUGCUACAUAGACCAGUCCAUUUGCUACGGGUGUGGAAUGAGGGGUCAUAUUAAAAGGGAUUGUCGUUCGUCUCACCAGAGCAUGGGCAGGGGUAAACCACAGCUGCCUAGUUUUGCAGCUACUACAUCCGUAUCACCUCGUCCAGCUCGAGGAACCCCAGCACCCGUAGGGCGUGGUGUAGCUAGGGGUGGCACAUAGAGUUUGGGAAGACCCAACCAUUUUCAUGCUAUGAGGGGUCGCCAGAGUUCAAAGGCUUCUCCAGAUGUUGUCACAGGUAUAUUGACUUUCCAAUCUCAUGAUGUGUAUGCUCUUAUUGAUCCCGGUUCCACUUUGUCCUAUGUCACUCCCUAUGUUUCUAUGGAAUUUGGGAUAGAACCGGAAUAGCUCCAUGAGCCAUUCUCUGUAUCUACUCCGGUUGGUGAGUCUAUUGUGGCCGUGUGAGUCAAUAGGGAUUGUAUUUGUCACGGUGCGUGGUCAGGACACCAUGGCUGAUCUCAUUGAAUUGGGGAUGGUUGAUUUUGAUGUAAUAAUGAGGAUGGAUUAGCUUUAUUCAUGUUUCGCUAAGCUUGACUGUCGAACUAGAAAUGUUAGGUUUGAAUUUCCAACUGAGUCAGUGAUUAAAUGGAAGGGGGAUGAUGUGGUGCCGAAAGGUAGGUUUAUUUCUUACCUUAAAGCCACAAAUAUGAUUAACAAGGGGUGUAUCUACCAUUUGGUAUGGGUUACAGACACCGAUGCGGAGGCACCUACACUUGAGUUUGUGCCUGUUGUGAAUGAAUUUCUAGAGGUAUUUCUGGAUGAGCUCCCUGGGAUCCUACCAGACAGGGAGAUUGACUUUGGGAUUGAUGUGAUGCCAGGCACGCAUCCUAUAUUUAUUCCACCCUACAGAAUGGUACUAACAAAAUUGAAGGAGCUAAAAGAACAAUUGAAAGAUUUAUUAGAGAAGGGUUUCAUCCGGUUGAGUGUGUUGCCUUGGGGCACACCAGUUCUAUUUGUAAGAAAGAAGGAUGGGUUGCUAAGAAUGUGUAUUGACUAUCGGAAGCUCAACAAGGUUAUAAUAAAAAAUAAGUACCCACUGCCAAGGAUAGAUGACUUGUUUGAUUAAUUACAGGGUGCUAAGUACUUCUCCAAGAUCGAUUUAUGAUCCGGGUAUCACCAGUUGAAGAUCAGGGAGCAGGAUAUUCCGAGAACAACUUUCAGGACCCGAUAUGGGCACUUUGAAUUUUUGGUAAUGUCUUUUGGGCUAACAAAUGCCCUUGCAGCUUUCAUGGAUUUUAUGAAUAGGGUCUUCAAAACUUUCCUCGACUCCUUCGUAAUAGUGUUUAUUGACGAUAUUCUUGUUUAUUCGCGGAGUCGGGAGGACCAUGUUGAUCACCUUAAGGCAGCUUUGCAAGCCCUAUAUCAGCACCAAUUAUAUGCGAAGUUUUCAAAAUGUGAAUUUUUGCUUGAAUCUGUCACAUUCUUGGGUUAUGUUAUCUCUAGAGUAGGAAUUCAGGUUGACCCGCAGAAAAUUUCAGCCGUAAAGAAUUAGCCUAGACGUACUACCCCAACAGAGAUUCACGAUUUCUUGGGCUUAGCUGGAUAUUACAUGAAGUUUGUGUAGGGGUUCUGCACUCUUGCCUCUCCGUUGACUAAAUUGACGCAGAAGGUUGUUAAGUUCCAAUGGUCAGAUGCUUGUAAAAGGAGCUUCCAAGAGUUGAAAUCCAGAUUAACUAUGGUACCGGUGUUUACUGAUGGAUUUGUGGUAUAUUGUGAUGCUUCAAAGAUCGGUCUUGGGUGUGUAUUGAUGCAACAUGGCAAGGUAAUAGCUUAUGCUUCUAGGCAACUCAAGAAUCAUGAAAAGAACUAUCCUACACAUGACUUAGAGCUUGCGGAGGUGGUAUUUGCAUUGAAGAUUUGGCGUCAUUAUCUGUAUGGGGUCCAUGUAGAUAUAUUCACGGACCAUAAGAGCCUACAAUACAUUUUCAAACAGAAGGAAUUGAAUCUGAGGUAGAGAAGAUGGCUUGAGUUACUCAAGGAUUAUGACAUUGAUAUUCUGUAUCAUCCGAGGAAGGCUAAUAUUGUGGAGGAUGCUCUUAGCUAGAAAUCUCUGUGUAGUUUGGCUCAAUUUGUGGCAUAUCAAAGGUUGUUGGUCAAGGAGGUUCAUCCGUUGGCUAUUUUGGGAGUUCGUCUUGCGGACUCUAGUGAAUGAGGGGUGAUUGUUCAAAAUAGGGUUGAAUCGUCGCUUGUGGUAGAAGUCAAGGAUAAGCAAUUCAACGAUCCAUUGUUGGUACAACUGAAAAAGGGGAUUCAUAAACAUAAGAUCAUGGCCUUUUCUCUUGGCAUGGAUGAUGGUACCCUAAGGUACCAAGGUCGUCUAUGUGUUCCAAAUGUGGAUGCUCUCCGGGAAAGAAUCAUAACCGAGGCUCACACUUCUAAGUAUUCUGUGCACCCGGGCUCAAAAAAGAUGUAUCAUGAUCUUAGUGAAAUCUAUUGGUGGAACGAUAUGAAGAGGAAUGUAGCGAACUUUGUGGCAAGAUGUCCAAAUUGUUAGCAAGUGAAAGCCGAACAAUAAAGGCCCGGUGGGUUGGCACAGAACAUAGAGAUUCUGAUGUGGAAGUGGGAGAUGAAUAAUACGGACUUUGUGGUAAGGCUACCUCGCACUCCUCGCAAAUUCAACUCGAUUUGGGUGAUUGUGGAUCGACUCACGAAAUCAGCACACUUUUUAUCUGUUAAGGCUACCGACACAGCAGAACAGUAUGCUCAGUUUUACAUCAAGAAAAUAGUCAGGUUACAUGGAACUCCGGUUUCUAUUAUCUCAGAUCGAGGGGCACAGUUUACGGCUAAUUGUUGGAAGAAAUUUCAGAAAGGUUUGGGUACCCAGGUGAAUCUUAGUACAGCCUUUCACCCACAUACUGACGGGCAGGCAGAGCGGACUAUUCAGACGCUUGAGGAUAUAUUGCGCACUUGUGUUUUUGACAUCAAAUGUAGUUGGGAUGAUCAUUUUCCGCUCAUAGAGUUUUGCUACAAUAACAGUUAUUAUGCCAACAUUCAGAUGGCACCAUUCGAGGCUUUAUAUUGUAGAAGAUGUAGAUCUCCCAUUGGGAGGUUUGAGAUUGGGGAAGCGGAGUUGAUAGGUUAGAUCUCAUGCAUCAGACUAUGGAAAAGGUUAAGAUCAUUAAGGAGCGGUUGGAAACUGCUCAGAGUCGUCAGAAGUCCUAUUCAGAUGUUCGUCACAGGGAUUUGGAGUUCAAAGAAGAUGAUUGGGUAUUCUUGAAGGUUUCCCCUAUGAAGGGUAUAAUGCGGUUCGGUAAGAAAGGAAAAUUGAGUCUGAGGUAUGUCGGACCGUACAAAAUCAUUCAGAGGAUUGGUCAGGUGGCUUACAGGAUAGAACUACCUCCAGAAAUGACUUUAGUGCACCCGGUGUUCCACGUGUCCAUGUUGAAAAUGGUGGUUGGAGAUCCAUCGCUUAUUGUUCCGAUUGAGACCAUUAAGGUUCAUGAAGAAUUGACUUACGAAGAAAUUUCAGUUGCCAUCCUUGAUAGGAAAGUCUGAAAGUUGAGGAACUAAGAGAUUGCCUUCGUGAAAGUACUAUGGCAAAACCAGCAAGUUGAAGAGGCCACCUGGGAGGCCGAGGAAGAAAUGAGGAAGAAGUACCCUCAUUUUUUUGAAUAUCCAUGUAUUUAUAAUGUUGUGUUCUAUAAAAAUGCUAAGAGUUACCUUCUAUGAAUUAGCUAUCAUUUGUACAAUUGAUGUUCAAGGUGUUCCGUUUUGGUAGUAUACUGCCCGUGAGGCCACGGUUGGCAUUAUUUUAAUGUUAUGUUGCAUAGUUAGUUCCUAUAUAUGUUGUUAGGACUGCUUUUGGGAUUCUAUGGCUGGUGGAUAGGCCCAAUUAUAGGGGAGACUCUAGCGAAAUAUUUGGAUAUUUAUGGAGUUAGUCAAAAAAAUUGGAACUGUUGGUGUGUGUUGUAGCAACUGAGUCACAUUGGGUGCUAAUGGUGAAUUUUGACCCAUAUUCGAGGACGAAUGAUCCUAAGUGGGGGAGGAUGUAAGGACUCGUAAAUAUUUCACCUAAAACCCGGGGUUUCGUAAUGCCGGGGUAGACUUAUGUGUUGGGUUGAACAGUGCAUUGGGGAGUUGAAGAAAUAUUUUAGAAAUAUAUGGCAUUUCUGCGGUCCAUUAUGCGGUCGCAGAACUGGUCUGCAGACCGCAUGUCGGCCGCAGAUUGAAUCAAAGAACUAGGCAAAAAUUUCGGACCAUUAUGCGGCCGCAUAAUCGUUUUGCGGGCCGUAUAACCCAUCGCAGACCCAGCAUGAAAAUUUCCGGAGGGAAGUUUUGCGGCACAUUAUGCGACCGCAGACUGGUGGUAGAGUGGGGCAGACUUGCCGAGUUUCGGAGGGCCAUUAUGCGGCCCAUUUUGCGGACCGCAGAAGCAUUAUGCGGUCGCAUAUGCGACCGUAGAUAUGUGUCUGCCCUUCAUUUUUCUAAUUUUAUAACCCGACCCCCAUUUCGUCUAUCUAGCCUAAGGGUUCAUUUUUGGAGGAUUUCUUGUCAUUUUAGAGAGAGGAGAGAACUAUUCUAGAGAGAGAAAAUGGAGGGUUAAGGAUUUCACUACUCCACCUUGAUCGAACCUUGGGAUUGCAUCGAAAGGAACUUGCUAGGGUUUCAAAGAGGUAAGAAUUUCUUUCUCCAAUUCUUCAAUUUUGGGUUUGGGAUUGAUUAUGGGUGAUAAGGGUAGCUUUAUCACAUGAAAGAGCCAAUAGGGCUUGUGGGGAAGUUGUUGAACAAUCUUGGGUUGUUUUGUUGUUGAAUUGGUUGAGGGAAAGUUUGGGUCAUAGUUGUAAUAGCCCUUGUCAUAUGAAUUUCUCUAAUCGUGCUUGUAAUUCUCCCCUCCCCUAUAGAUUGGCAUCGUUAGGAGUGUUGGGACAUUAUUUUUGCAUUACGAAAAGCUCUUUCGAGGUAUGUUGGUUAAACUCUUCUCUUAGAAUUGAACCCCACAAUACCCUUGUAAGUCCCGUGAUGCUUAUUAUAAAUUGAAUUAUUCCAAAUAAGCCUUGUGUCAAAACAAAUAUGCGUUCAAUAUGUAUUCCAAAGAUUCUUGUUAUGUUGAGUUACCGUUUGAGAAUGUGGUUUAAGCAUGGGCUGGGUGUUAUUGUGUUAUGAUUUAAAAAUAUGUUUCUAAUGAAAGUUAUCAUGUCAAAUUGUGUAAAAGAAAUCACAUGUGCCUAAAACCCUAAAUUGCUCAACUAUGUGUUAAUGUCUUAAUUUGAAAGACCUUGUUGUUGAUUAUCCAUGAUGAGGUUUGAAAGUGAAAUAGUGAACAUGAAUUAUGAAUUACGACCAACGUGCCAAGAAUGAUAUUGCGUUAUGGCCAAUGGUGCCAACAAAAUGAAUGACAUGUAAAAGAAUGUGAAAUGAGUGGUAAAUCCUUUUUUAUAAUAAAUGCCUUGGGAGUAUCGUUUAGCCACCGAUGAAGGGUAGGUCGGAACAAUCUAACCCCGAAACUACACGUGUCGGUAUAGGAAUGACGGAGAGGUAAAUCCCCAUGUUAAUGUGAUGAGACUGUGUCCCCUUAUAUGGAAUGAUAUUGGUGUGUUGAGAUGUUUCCCCUUAAAUGGGAUGAGAUUAUUGCUAGGGAGAUGUGAUGUGAUGUCGAUCCACAUGGCAUGGUGGUGAGACGGCUUAGCCGAUCGGGCUGAGAUCGGACUCCGUGCUAAAACACGGUAGUGUAUCGAUUUUCCCAACUUAAAUUACUGAAACUUACUUGAAAUUUACUUUUCCCCUAAUUUGACACUUUGAUACCGUUUGAGUCUCUUAUUGAUUUCAUGUUUUAUUCUCUGUUUACUGUUACUCGUUUUAUUGAGGGGGUGUUCAGUUUUACAUACUAGUACUAUUCUAUAUGUACUAACGUUCCUUUUUCCGGGGCGCUGUAUCUUUAAUGGAUGCAGGUGGUUAUGUAGCAGGUGGUGUUGAUCAGUGAUAGAAGCACACCCUCUCUUCAGCUAACUUGGUGAGCCCCACUUCAUUUCGGGGUCCUGUAUCUCUUAUCCUUUGUACAUAGCAUUUUGAGGUAUAGCCGGGGCCUUAUUGCCGGUACUGUCAUAGCACUCAUUUGUUUUCGUUAGAGGCUCCGUAGACAUAGUAUGGGUUGUAUCUAUUUUUGGGAAGGUUAAACUAAAAAUGUUGUAAUCGUAUCAUCUGUUCCACUUUAACUAUAAUUGUACAAUGUAUUGUUUUGGUGACUUGUUAAUAAUUUAACUAAUGGAAAUGAACUGGUGUUAUUCACAUGACCUCUUAUUGUCUAAUUAAUGAAAUGUAUUCUUCUCUUUAUUUAUGGGUGAGUUGGGUAGACGGCACUGUGCAGGUUUGCUCGACCGGGGUAACUCUGUUAAGCACCGAUUGCGUUCCUCGAGGUCGGGGUGUGACGGGGAUUAUGGAAAUUCCGUCGGACUUUGGACAAGGUUUAUCUAAGCAGGUUGCUACGUCAAUAGCGCUUCAACACGUAUUAGGUUUAGCAUGAUGCAUGUACAAUUAAAAUUGGAGUGGGGUUUCUAAAAGGGUCUAAACUGGUACUCCCAAGUGACAACUUGAGAGGGAAGGGCACGGGAUCGUCAACGCUGAUCGACUAGUCUGCCAUAAAUUAGCCUCUCUGAUUUAGAAAGGGUAAUCUCAAGAAAGCACAAACACUCAUCAAGUGCUGCUAUGUUGAUAAUCGGCACGAGUGGAGUAUAAUAUGGAGCAUGCUUUAUGCAAGAAUAAUAACACAUUACCAAGUAUUUGCAUGAUAAAAGUACGUAAAAGUAGUAAAUAACAUAGCAAAGGUGGACAUGAAAAGAAGAGGAAAGAAAAGAAAGACAAAAGAGAGAAGUCAGUUUAGCUCAUGAAAACGUGCGAGAACGUAAUGAAGCAGGUAGGGAGAUAGGGAUGGGAGAGUCAUAAUAUAGCAGUCUUCGGCAAGAUGAAAGAGAUGGAAAGAGAUCAAUACAUGUCAUAGCAAAUAAAGGAGAAUAAGGUAAGGGAUGUGCAUGUCAUAGUAGUUUAAAAAAAACAAGGAAAGUAAUACACAUAAAUCAAGUUCGUCAUGGUAAGAGCCUAAGUGUUUCCCCAGUAGAGUCGCCAUACUGUCGCGCCCUGUUUUCUCAUGAAAGAGGGUUUUGACGUGUGACAACUCUUUUAAAGAGAGGUAUUAAAAGAGAAGAGUCACCACCUAACGAUUUUUAAGGUGCGUUAGGGCACCUAUUUGCAAGUAACUCUGUUUGACUAGUCUGUAUCACCAAAGAUCGGGUAAGGGCUCAAGUUACUUCGAAGAGAAGGUGUUAGGCAUUCUUCGAAGUACACAAAUGUGGGUCCCGUCCGAACAUUAAACUAUGUAAAUUAUGUGAUUAGGCUAGGCGAUCAAAAUAGACAAAGGGGAAUUUAGGAGUCGAAGAGUCUUGAUAUAACACAUGUAAAUCGGUACUAAUCUUAAUGAUAACAAGGAUAUAACUACAUUGGUCUAUAUUAAAUGACUAAGUGUAAAUAGUCAGUAUACAAAGAAAGGGGGGGAGGGGCGUCCUAAGGUUGUUAGCCUAAAGGAUCAUCCCGUGCAACAUAAAUAAUACUUCGCAACUCCCUUAAGGUAGGGGUUGCUCAUAUUAUUCAGCGGGCAUAGACUAUCAUCUCCUGCUAUCCAAUUACUAUGUUGAAAUUGUUACCUAAAGGCAUUAUAAUUCAAUUCUAGGUCGUACCCUAUGUGUGCACUACCCGUCCCAUACCUAUUGUCCAGGAGGCUUUGGACUUCUAUUUAGGUGGUUCUAGACUCUACUUAGGAUGCUCAAAAAUAAUAAAACUAAUGCGCAUUCAAAACAUAUAGGACUACACAUAAAUGCAAGAAAAGGCUCAAGUUAACCUCCACGCAUAAACAACAAAUUUCACGCAGGCAAAUUUAGCUAUAGACAGCUUUUAGAAUUAAGACGCAUUAAAGUCGUUAAGUCCUAUAGGCAUGAUCUCAAUAUGAUUCUAGUAUUAUACAGGCAGUGUUGCGGUUUCUGGACUAACGAAUUUGCAGAUGUUAUAAACCUAUAGACAUGCUCUUAAACUAUUUACGCAAUGAGGCAAUAAAACUGUUUGAAGGCUUAGAGUUAACGACGUUCGAUUUAUAGACAUGCUUUCUAGACGAUGAAUAAUAUCCUAUAGGCACGAUUGACAAUUGAUCUUGAUUUUUAUAAUACUUUAUUCCUAUAGGCAUAUCAUCUAGGCGGGGCAGUGCAAUGAAAUUGACAUAAGUAGUCGAUUAAUCAAUUAGUUAAGCCCCUAUAGUCAUGAUAUCUAGAUGAGCAUUACAAAGGUAUGUAUUACUGCAUCAUAUAGGCAUGCUGUCUGAUAGUGCACAACAAUAGGCAUGGAAACAGGUACAACACUUACUCAAACCAACAUGUUGUGACUAGUGUACAUGUAUUAGACAAGUUGAGUGAAGGAUGUGAUUUCCUAUAGGCAUGGUUUGUAUGUGUGUACAGAAAUAAAACAUGCCAAACAAAAGUAGCAAACAGGUAGAUCCUAUAGGCAUGCUCUCUAUCUGUUUAUGCGAGAAUUAGAAUACCCCAACCUCUUUUCACUAAUCUCCCCAUUGUUUAUUUACAAAUUAUUACAUUCCCAAAGAUAAAAGAAGAAACAAACUCAAAUAUUACAGAAUCGAGAUGACUACAGGCUCUACAAAUAGAGCAGACCCAAGAAGAGGUAACCUAGUAUUGCCUUGGUCUUUAAUAGGCUCGUUCCUCACAUAAGUAGCAGACCCAGACCCAAACUAAACUCAAACACUAGAAUGUAUGUCCAUUUGCACAACCCAAAGCCACUCACAGACUCGUAUCAAGCCCAACAUUUACAAUAUUGAUCACUUAACCAAAUAAGUAAAUGGACCACACAUGAAAAUCAACUAAACAGCCCUAAGGCAAUACCUCAUAGAUACAGGAUUGUGUGACACUUAAUAGGAUUCAUAAACGCAUUGGCAUUUCAGAAGCGAGAGUGACAGAAUUGAUUAGGCAAAGAACAAGAAACUAGGAGAACCCACAAACUUGAUUUGCAACAUGGUAAAUGUAACAUAGAUUAAACCAUUAAGCAGAAAACAAUAUAUUAAAGAUAAACCUAAUACUAGGGUAGUUAAGGGGACAUGCCAUUUGGGAUUAACGAGGGAAGCAUACUAGACACAUACAAGAUGAAUAUGCGAAGUUUUUCAAGAAUAAGCUCAAUAUAGAGCAUAAUCCAUAGUUAAAAAAAGGGAUUUUGAACCUAGGAGUCUAAGUUAUGAAUGUCGAAAGGAGUCAGAGUCGGGAAAUGACAAUUACACAUAACAAACAAACAUGCAAACAGUGAAUAGGGAGCCUAAUCAUGCUGAGUGCAACACAAAGAUCCCCAAGUUCAAAGGUAUUAUGAUAUUAAUUCCAGAUUAACAUGUCAAACAGGAAUUAGGACUAUCCCAGUUGACUAUAUAAGAAGAGUAGUUUGAAUAUUUUGAGAUUCUUCCUAGCAGUUUUUAAAUAAUCCGCGAGUACAUAGUGAUAGCAACAUUUAGUGUUUACAAACAGCAAGAGACCCAGUUAGGAUAGUAUUAGCAUAUAGAUUCCUCAUGAAUUGACUCUAAGAAAAUUGUAGAUUGUACAUGAAGGACUCGGCAGAAAGUAGUUCAGUUGGACAAAUUCUAGGCAUGAAUUAGUUCCUCACAAGAAUCUACGACAUAGACUCAUAACCAGCAAUGGGUAUAAGUAACCAGCAUAAUGGGAAUGCAUUAAGGCUAGCAUAUUAGGCUAAGCAUUUAGAUAGUAUUGUCAUAUGACUUGCAGAGAAAUAGCACAUUAUGCAUAAAGGAUUCAACAUGAAGAGAGCAAUUUUGAGCAAAAGCAUAGUUUCCUAAGGGUUUUAGUACAAGGUUCAACAACCAUCAAUUAGGUUUCAAUUACGAAUCACGUAUGCAUCAUGAAUCAACUUAGUUAUCCAUUAAAAUCAGGACUUGCAUAGAAUUGAAGCUAAUGGAACUACAAAGUACUAGCAAAAUAAGCAGAAUUGCAUAUGAAGUGGCAUAAUAUCAAAAUUAACUCAGGAAAAUUCAAGUAGUACUAAUGCACAAAACAUGAACACGAACAGAAAGAAGUAGAAUUGGAAGAGUAUAGGGCACUAACUAGUUGCAAACAAAGAAAAUAAGGAAUAAGAAACUCAAAAUCUCAGGAAUAGCAUCAAUUGCCGGAGAGUAAUGAAAACCCCAAAAUCUCCAGUGCUUCAGAGUUCACAAGAGCCUCGAAGUGGGCUCCGAGCAGUGCUUGCACUGGAGGAGGCUAACGAACUGAUUCCGGUGGCCUUGGCUUUCAACCGGCCAAAAUCAAAAGUCACAGAAUAGUAUAGAAUGAGUGAGAGUGAGAGAAUAGUAGUGGUAACAAUAGUUAAGUCAAUCGUUCAUUUUUUCGAAGGGGAGCGGGGAAAGGGGGUUUAUAUAGUGGUCCAAAUCGAAUAAGAAAACAUGGAAAAUAAUUAAUCAAUCACAAAAAAAGAAAUAAUAUCACAUGCAAUCAGUAUUAGAAGUGGUAAAGAAGAAAAUGUUUAAAUUUCAAACCCUAGUUCGACGAAAAUCAAAGAUUGGCCAAAGAUCUUAGUAAAUCGGAUCCUCAUAGCCUUGCUAUGAAUGUAUACAGAUGAAAUAUCGUCUAAAUCUUGGAGAGUGGAGCUGGUAUCCUUUGAUUCAGAGACUAGUACUUGCCAAAAAAUGGGCAAGUACUAAGUAACACCAUAUUUACAAAGGUAAUAGCGGUAUAAUCAGGGAAAGGUAAGUAAAUCAUGGUAAGAAUCCAUGGAUGAGUUGGACUCGGAGAAGAAUUGGGGUGGCGGCUAGGGUUUGUGAGGUAAGGGGAGGGUUUUAGGGAAUAUAGAGACGGUUGACUAGGUAAAAUGAGUCUAGGGUUUGGGGUGAUGUUAAUUAGAAGAGGGGAGAUGGAAUGUGGGUCGUUGAUCUCCCAAUAUCAACGGCCAGGAUUUUAAUGAGAGGCGGAUCUGGUUAGUGGAUGGGUGUGGCGUAGUGGAUAACUGGUAUUAGGCUAGGGGUUAUAAGGAUGGAGUUUAGGGUGUGGGCUGGUGAAUUACGUCCAAAUUUUGGCCUGUUUUGGGCCAGAUUUUAAAUAGCUAAAUAAUAUAAAAAGUAGUAUCUAUGCAACUUAAUAUUUUUAAAAAUAAUAGCUGAAAAUUAUAAAAAUAUAAAAAAUUAUUUUGACAUUGAAUAAAAUGACAAAAGCAAUUAAUUGUAAAAAUAUAGGCUAUUAUUGUAAAAAUACGUAAAUAGUUCAAAAAUGCAAAUGUGAUUAUGGAAUGAAGCAAAAUGUUAUAAAACAUAUGUGUGGGUGUAAUAAUAAAUUUUGAUGAUGAAUUCAUCACAAAAUAAAUUUCGAAGGAUAAUUAAUAAAUCUUUGAACAAUUUAAAUGCAAGAAAAUCAAUUUUAAAGCCUCAAAAUAUUGUGAAAAAUUACAGAAAAUACUUAUAUGACCCCUGUAAAUUUGUGAUGAUGUAGGAAUGAUAUUUUACAAGCAUAUAUGAUAUUUAUAAAAAUAUGAGGGAAAAAUUGGGUAUCAACAUUCAUUAUUCAUUCCUAUAAAAUGUAAUUCAAAGCACGGCUACGUAUAUUCCUAAGUCCCUAUUGAAGAAUACAAUAAAGAUAUUAAUGUUCAUAAAUGUAAUGUUAUAUGCAUCUCCAUUUACCACCGAGCUACGGCCGGUCAGGCAGUCAUGCAUUUCUUACCGAGCUAUGACCGGUUAGCCAGUUACACAUUUUCCACCGAGCUACAGCCGGUCGGGCAGUCAUGCAUUUACCACUGUGCUACGGCAGGUCCGACAGUUGUCACUAAUCAAUUGGGCAGUUAACAUCACGAUAAUGAUGUAGUUAGGACUAUGGCAUUGUAUAUAUAUAUAUAUAUAUGAGAUUGAAAUUAUUAUACAUGUUAUGGACCUUAGCGGCAAGUUAGAGGUUACAGGUUGACUCUUAUCCCUUUCGGUGAUAGUAUCUUAUCAUAGUGAUUCAUUUCUGCCUUACAUACUCAGUACAUUCUUUGUACUGACGUCCCUUUACUGGGGGGACCCUGUGUUUCAUGUCACGCAGAUGUAGAUAGAUGAGGCGGGGAUCCUCCAUGGUAGGUUGCCUCUAGAUAUCAACUUUUGGUUGGUGAGCUCCACUUCUUCCUUGGAGUAUUGCCGAGUCAGGGUUCUUUAUAGCUUAUUUUUGUUUAUGGGAACAUCGGUGGCCCUGUUCCGAUUAUAUACUAUUUUCAUGUUGCCGUAGAGGCUUUGCAGAUCGUAUCAUGUGUAUAGUUUUAGUUAUGACAUGUCAGUCUAUCAUGACGGCCUUGCCGGUCCCCAUGUAUCUGUGUAAAUUCUUUAUGAGUUGGUUAUACGAUUUAAGUUCUAAUUUCAUUACAUAUAUAUGUAUAUCUAUGUGGCCUCUAAUGGCCCAUGGCGAGUCUUAUAGUAGAGAAGGAUAAAGUACCUGGCACUCGGUUGAGUAGGCAUAGGGUGCUAGUAGUCGCCCUCUAGUUUGGGUCGUGACAUAAACAUAACGAGUGUGCGUACGCGUGACUUGUUCAAGAUAUACUCCUUAAUUCAUUAAAUAAGCAAAUAAAAGUCGUUUAAAAGCAGAAUGCAUAAAAUCCAUUGAAACAUAGAAUGUCCAAAAAUUAACUAAGCCAAGUGUAAAUUAUUAAGCGACCAUGAUAGAACCACGGGACUCGAAGAAUGCCUUACACUUUCUCCCUGGUCAACAAAGAUUUUCCCGUCUUUUGUGUUCGCAGACCAUAAUUUGUAGUCAAAGCUUUCCUUGAUUUGGGAUUUAAAUAAUUGGUGACUUGAAAUACCAAAAUCACAUAGUUUCAAGUGGCGACUCAUAAAAAAAAAUAAUUCACUUUCAACUAAUAUCACUUAAAUUGGAAAUAUUCUUUUGCACCCGAAAAAAGAAGGUGUGACAGAUAUGGAAACUCCGCUGGGGAAUCAUGAUUUUCCGAAUCUCUGGUUUAGGGUUCAAAAUUCGAACUUGGAAUGCAUUUUAUACUUGAAUUUUAUUAUUUAUCUGAUAUUAUAUGUUUGGGCCUACUAUGUUAAUUAUAUCUCUUUUACCGUUUUGAUAAUAAAUGAAAUAUAUAUAAAACUUUAAUGCUAUGCUCUUCUCUCUUAGUCUUCUAAAUCUACUAGGGGUGUAUGUACGCAUGGCCCUUUUUGUUAGAAGUGUCACACAUAUUUUAGGACGGGGAUCAGAUCUACAAAUCCAGAUGGCCUUCUGGGUUCCCGGUACAUUGUCCCCACGACUCAAGCUGUUUGCAUGGGUAAGUCAGGUCUAGAAAUCUCUCCUAUUAAGAUUUUAAACCUAUAAGAACAAGCCACAUUUUGGAUUUUCUAGUAGGAACAUUUAUUUGCAUCAUGUGCAUUUGACUUUUGGGACUCAGUACUGGGGCUGGAUCCUUGUAGGAUAGGUGGACCACAUUUCUUAACGACCAUCUUGUACAUCUUAUAUGCUACUUGUAUAAUGUUUGUUAUACUUGGAUGUUGACUGUCUUUCUAGAAAUAAAGAGAGAAGAACGAGGAAAACCACGAAGGAGAAAAUAAGAGAGUGGAAUUUACCUGGUUUCCAUAAAAAAUCUAGUAAUUGAAAAACCAAAGUGUGUUAAAUUUUACACCAAAAGUUUUGAAAUAUUGAUUGAUAUUUCAAAAGUUUCCUUGCUUUUGGAUGACUUACGCGGGUCUGACUCUCACAUCCGGUGUGAUACGUAGGAAACACUCCUCAGGUCUGGCCCCCAAAUUUAAAAAAAUUCAAAAACAAAAUGUAGGUGUCUCUGUAGUGUAAUUUCUGUUGUCGAGUAUUAUCCCCGCGUCCAGCUGUUUUGCCAAGAAAGUGAAAAAUCUUCCUUACUAGUGCCAAAGGGCCGUUUUUGAAAAAAUAGCCACAUUGUCCAGUUGUGUCUCUAUUGACAAGUUUUGUCCUCGUGUCUUGUCAUUUUUGCCGAGAUAGCCACAAAACCUUCCUCGGUAGUAAAAAAUUAUUUUCAUAAUAAUUGUAAAUUUUAUCUUAAGUUGGGUUCUUAUCUCUCAUUCAACCUCAAAUCCUUCUCCAAGAUAGAGGGUAACUGUUUUCCCAAACUUGUAAGAGAUUUUUUUCACCUUCGAAUAGUCAUUUUGCAUGAGCUACGCAUACCUGAUUCUUGACCUUAUGGCAAGAUACGUAGGCAACCCGUCACAAAUCUGGUUUUUCUCGUCCUUAGUUUGACGAAUCGGUCAAAUCUAGCCACUUGGGACAUAAUUGACAAUAGAUCUUCAGAAAAAAGAUCAUUCCCAAAAAAAGAGAGAAAAUAUUUUUGUUUUGUUUCUUCUUUAGGCGUCAGAUACAAAAUUCCAAAAAUAUUUUUCUUUAGAAGUCCUUUUUUUGAGACAUCAAAUUCAAAAAUCAAAAAAUAUGUUCUUUCUUCUUUAGAAGUGUUUUCUUUGAGAAAUUCAUGAAAAAAAAAAUCAAAAUCCAAUAUUUUUCUUGUUAGGAGCUUUCACAUUCUGAUUUUUAUAAAAGUAAAAGAAAAGAGUUACUUUAUAUACUUUUGGAUAUUCCCGAACUACGCAAAGAUGUGAUUCAUAUCUCCUCAUGAUAUGUAGGCAACCCAUAUUGGGUUCGAUCGAACUAUUUUUGAAAAAUAAUUGUGAUAAUAAUAAGAAGCGGUUAAGCCCAUUAUAAUAUGUCUUUUGUUUUGAAUUGAAAAGUAAGUUUGAGGUGGUUAGUUUGUGGUAAUAUGGAAACACAAGAUCCAAGGGAAAAACGCCAAUGACCAUCGAAGUCGUCCAAGUGCUCACGAGACUCAGGUUCAAAUGGUUCUACAAGAGUUUGUUGUGCUUGAGAAAAAUAGGAUGCUGAAAGAGAGAACGACUGAAGUGUUAUCAAUCAUGGGCCAAUGGCUAAGAGCCGCCCUUGUCUAAGCUUGGUUACCCAAAUGUCACACCCUUCUCAAUGACUACUACUCAGGUCUCGUCAUCUAAUUUAUUUUACCCAUCUGGGGCAAGUACGUAUCCUAACUACACGAAUAUGGCUGGGACUUCUACUGUGCGCUCUCAAGGUAUGUCAUUGAGAACCAAUCACAAAACCACUGUUGUUAUGCCUAUCUACACUAUUUCACAGCCAACAGUGAUACAGAGAAAAUAUUAUGAAUUAUAGUUCACUACCCAGCAAGAACAGUGCCACUCUCCUAAGUACCAAUCGUAGCUAUUUGAUUUUCCUACAGAGAUUGAGAAGCCUUACCGAAAGAUGGCACAUGAAGAAAUGUCCCAAAAAUUAAAAAGCUUGUAGUGGCAUCUGAAAAACAUGCAACGGUUGGAUGGUUAGAAAAGUAUUGCCUUCAAGGAUCUAUGUAUAUUCUCCAAUAUCCUCAUUCCACAUGGUUUCAAGACCCCCAUGUUUCAAAUGUAUGAGGGACGUGGCAACCCCAUAGCCCACUUGAUAAUGUAUUGCAAUAAGCUAAGAAGCGCGAGAGAAAAAGGAAGAGUUACUGAUGGUUUGUUUUGGGGAAAGCCUUUCGGGAGCAGCCUCUAAAUGGUUUACUGAUUAAGAAACCUCUCAUUAGCAUGUUUGGGAUGACAUGACUCAGGACUUUAUUAAACAGUUACAGUACAAUAUACAUAUCGCCCCAGACCGAAUUUCCCUUUCAGAUAUGAAGAAGACACAAACUGAAAGUUUUAUGGAAUAUGCCAUUAAAUGGAGAAAGCAAGCGGCUAGAGUUAAGUGGCCCAUGGAUGACCAUGAAUUUAUCACUAUCUCAUUCAGGCUCAAGAUCCUGAUUCUUUUCAAAAUAAGAUGUCCACAAUAGGUAAACCUUUCUCGAAAGCAAUCAAGAUUGGAGAAAUUAUUAAAAAUGGCAUCAAGACAAGCAAAAUUAUAAGUCAUGUGGUUCUCAAAGACACAACUUAGGCAAUCCAGAAGGGAUCGAUAAUUUUAGUGACAUGGUGGAGUAGGAUGAAGAGGCCCAUGACGGCCUCAGAGUCAGAAGGAGAUCAUAGGGGAACAUCUCGAAGAUAUGGGCAGCCUUAUCAGGUUUCGUAUGAUUCUGUUGAGCACUACUAACCGCCUUAAAAUCCACAAUACUCUAUUGUUCCACCUCAGUGUGUUGUCCAUAAUGAACAGUCAUAUGCCCGACCACCAAGAUACUCCCGAAGGAGGACACCAGCACUGGAAAAUCAUCGAUAGCAUCCACAAAAGUUUCUAGCACCCUAUAACCCAUAUCCAAGGUAGGAGUGUGAAAGGGAGCAGAGACUGAAAGAUAAUUUUACACAGAUAAGGGAGUUCUACGCAAGAUCAUUUGAGAAAUUAAAGCAUUAUGUCAUGAUCGCACUGAUCUCUCCAAAUUACAUGGACCCAUGUGCAAGAAGCUUUGAUGCUUCUAAACGGUGUAAAUACCAUUCCAAUCCCCAGGCGCACAGUGUUGAGAGCUGUCGGGAUUUGAAAAGUGAAAUCGAAAGGAUGAUUCAGGAAAAAUUAAUUGUGGUCUAGGACAUUAACACCCCGAAUAUCAUGCAUAAUCCUUUACCUGCAUAUGAUGAUGUGUAUAUUGUGGGAAUAGUAUGUGGUGACAUGGAGUAUAAGAGUCCUCCCAAGAACUUUAAAAAGUCGGUUGCUAUGAAAUGUCAUAUUUCACCAGUCCUGAAUCUGGCAGGCAAUGAUGAAGACGAGUGGAUCAAAGGGGUCAGGAACUUUCUUACUAAGGUAAAUGAGAUUAAAAUUGAGGAAGGCCUUAAUGGUUGAUGAGAAAAUCUGUGGCUAAAAUAUCAAGCUUAGUAAUUGAAAAAUCACUCCUUACGAGAAAGGGAUCUUGGUAGCUUGUUUUGAAGUUAUUUAUAUUAUCUUGGUUACUUCAAGGUUGUGGUACAAAUUUUGUUUAUUUUGUUGAGUCAAACCCUUCUACUCCUUUAUUCAAUAUGUUUGUGAUUCUUGUUUGUUUAUUUGUUUUGUCACUAUCUGGGUUAUCUCAUGGUUGUAACUCAAAUUUUAGCCUGUUUGUCUUGUUGUGAACACUUCUAUCCUUUAUUCAAUGAAAUAUAGUUUAUUAAUUUAUGUCAUUCUGUGCUUAGUUCUUUUCACGCUAGCUUUAGUGACAUGAAAUGCAUGCGAAAUUUUUGGCCAGAUUUUAGAGAAUUGAUUUAGGCCUGAAUAGGAUAUCUGGGAAAAAAACACUUUUGAAAAUGAGUAAAGAGUUAAAACACUUUAAAAAUAAAUUCGAGUCAAAUUCACGGGGAACUAGAAUAGUCAUACUCGUGGAGGUUAAGGAUCUUCACAUUCAAAUCAUUGUGAAGAUCGGGCUUAAGAUAAUAUGUUUGGCGUUAUCAAGGCUGGGAGGCCCUUUUUCUGCUACGCAAACACUUUAUACCCUUCGUCACUCCUUUUGAGCCUAUGUCAUUUUCUUCAACCCACUCUUUUGGAAUAGUCACGACCAAAAAUUCCACCAGAGAUGUGAGGUUGCCUAACACCGGUUGCUAGGUAAGCCAACAUCCAUUAUUCAGAAGUAACUUCAAUAACAAUAAGAAAUAAUCUCAAAAGCAUAAUAACAUAGAUAACCAUAGCCAAAUAGCGAUACAUCUCAAAUACCAUCCCAGAACCUGGUGUCAAUGAGUACAGGAGCUCUAUAGAAGAAGUAACUACAAUGGUAUGAAUAACAAUACAAUACUAUUUGAAGAACAUAAACAGUAAUAACAAAAGUAAGGAAAAUGACUCCAAGGCUUGCGAAUAGAAUAAUAGAGCUACCUUGAAAUCUCCAACAUGUACUGAUACGACUCUCUAGCAAUCAACUCUAUUAGCAGUACCUAAAUACGCACAUAAAGUGCAUAGUGUAAUAUGAGUAAAAUCAACCCCAUAUACUUUGUAAGUAGAAAGCCUAACCUCGGAUUGAAGAUAGUGAAGUGACGAGCGCAAAACACUACUUUAAUUAUGCUCGCUAGUUAAAGAUAGUAUAGUAUAAUAUUGUAUCCACGAGGAUUGGUGUUAAACAAUAUUCUUGUAAUUUAUAGCUUGAUUGCUAUCCAAGAUGAUCAACAAUGGAGAUUUCUAAGAUUUUUAACUAUAAUUAACUAUCUAAAGCUAUUGACUAACAACAAUCGCAACAAAGGUAAGCAAGAAAGUUAUCAAUGGGAGAAAAUAGGGGUUGAUAGAAUGGGUGCAAGAUAUUUGUUUGGGAUCUAACUCUAGAUAAUUCACUUCUAAUGUUUAAGUGAGUCUAUAGAAUUCACUCAAUUAUCAGUUCAAACGUUCAGCUAAAAAUUCUCUCUCGAUUAAGUCUUAACCUCACGAGAUGAACCAAUUUAAGCACGUGAAGAUAUGGAAGAAUGCGUAAUGGAUUGGUCUUUAGGAAAACCUCUUCCGAUUAUUCUCCUAACUAGGUUUAAUUAAUAAAUCAACUAGCCUCUUUCAAUUACUAAGAAAAAUUAAUGAACUCAACCAACAAGAUAAUGCAAAGAUAUCGCAAGUUAUGCCUCUCUCGAUUACAUGAACAAGUGAAUAUAGAUGCAAUAAUUAAAUCAUCCAAAAAUGCCUCAAUACAUAAAACUAGAGUUAUAAUCCACAAAAAAAUAUCAAUACACCAAAUCCAUCAAACCAUAAAGGGAACUACUCCAUAGAUAUGGAGCAAUUCAUCAUAAAUAUGUUUAAAGAAAAGGAAAGGAUAAAAUGAUCCAAACUCGGCUCUUGAGUGAGGAUUGAAUGAUGAACUCCUUCUGCUUUUGUUUCUCCAACUCCUAUUUAGCCUCCCUAGGUCUCCAAUAUGUCAAAAGUCCAGAAAAUAAAGUUUUUCCAUAUAUU
RNAcentral lists this long non-coding RNA (53013 nucleotides) under Nicotiana tabacum (common tobacco). RNAcentral describes it as "long non-coding RNA (NTAB_LNC000643)". The record is from RNAcentral. Lineage: Eukaryota; Viridiplantae; Streptophyta; Magnoliopsida; Solanales; Solanaceae.